Molecule: long non-coding RNA, 72814 nt
Filed under: Cicer arietinum (chickpea)
Lineage: Eukaryota; Viridiplantae; Streptophyta; Magnoliopsida; Fabales; Fabaceae
Description: long non-coding RNA (CARI_LNC000537)
Source: RNAcentral
GAAAAGGAACUUUUAUCUAUUGUUUUUGCACUUGAUAAGUUUAUAUCGUAUUUGUUAGGUUCGAAGGUAGUUGUUUUUACUGACCAUGCAGCUUUGAAGUUCUUGCUGAAGAAACCAAAAGCAAAACCGAGAUUGAUCUGGUCGAUGGUGUUACUGCAAGAAUUUGAUUUAGAGAUUAAAGAUAAGAGUUGAGCUGAAAAUUUGGUGGCAGAUCAUUUGAGCAGAAUAGAAAUGGAUGAAGACCUCAUCCCCAUUCAAGAUGACUUCCCUGAUGAUCAACUGCUACAGUUGCGUGAGAUAACUCCUUGGUUUGCUGAUUUAGUUAAUUACUUAGUUGAUGGAGUCCUUCCUGCAGAUGCAUCCAGAACACAAAUACACAAACUUAAAAGUGAUGUCAAAUACUAUGUGUGGGAUGAUCCAUAUAUGUGGAAAUUAUGUAGUGACCAGGUGAUUAGACGAUGUAUUUCCCACCAUGAGAAUUGACCCAUUCUUCAUUUUUGUCAUGUCUCUCAAGCUAGGGGACAUUUUUGUCCUCAAUGAACAUCAAGAAAAGUCUUAGACUCGAGUUUCUUUUGGCCCACUUUGUUUAAAGAUGCUUUUGAGACUUGCAAAACUUGUGAACAUUGCCAAAUAGCAGGAACAACAAUCACUCAUAGGAGUGAGAUGUCUCAACAACCUAUGCUUUUAUGUGAAGUAUUUGAUGUGUGGGGCAUUGACUUUAUGGACCCUUUUCAUAUAUCUUUUGGUUUUGUCUAUAUUUUACUAGCUGCUGAUUAUGUUUCGAAGUGCGUGGAAGCAAUACCCACUAGGACUAAUGAUUCUAAAGUUGUUGCAGAUUUUAUCAGAUCAAAUAUUUUUUGCAGGUUUGGAAUACCCCGAGCCAUCAUAAGUGAUCAAGGCACUCAUUUUUGCAACCGCACCAUGGACGCUUUGCUUCGGAAGUAUGGGGUUGUACACAGAGUUUCUACACCUUAUCAUCCCCAGACUAAUGGGCAAGCUGAAAUCUCAAACAGGGAAAUCAAAUCGAUCUUAGAAAAAAUGGGGCAGCCAAACAGGAAAGACUUGAGCCACCGACUUGAAGAAGCUCUUUGGGCUCAUAGAAUAGCCUACAAAACUCCAAUAGGGAUGUCCCCUUAUUGACUUGUGUUUGGUAAGGCAUGUCACAUCCCAGUGGAAAUAGAGCAUCGUGCUUAUUGGGCGGUCAAGAGUUGUAACAUUGAGUUGGAGAAAUCAGGUUUGGAGAGAAAGCUUCAAUUGCAACAACUUGAAGAGCUUAGACUUGAAGCUUAUGAGAACUCUCAGAUCUAUAAGGAGAAAACUAAGUACUUUCAUGAUAAGAUGAUUUCUAGGAAGGAAGUUCCCAUUGGUCAAAUCUUUUUAUUGUUCAAGUCCCGUUUUAAAAUUAUGGAUGGGAAACUUCGAUCAAAGUGGAUUGGUUCUUUUGUUGUUACUAACAUUUUUCCUCAUGGUGCAGUGGCAAUAAAAAGUGAAAACACCGAGAAAGUGUUCAAAGUAAAUGGACAACGCCUCAAGCUAUUCCAUGAGAGCUUUGUGCUUGAAGAUGCUACCAUAGAAGAACUCUCAUUGGAAAAGUCCACCUACACUGAGGUUUGAACAUAGAUCUCAUUUUCCUUACUCUUAUUUUAUACUUGUUACUUUAAUUGAGGACAAUGUGUAAUUUAAGUGUGGGGUAUUAUUUAGGAUUUUAGUAUUUAAGAUUUUAUUUGAUAUAUUUUAAAAAAAAUAAAAGAAUAAAAAGUAAUAAAAAUAAAAAUGGACAUUGCACUGCAUGAUUUUUCAUCAGAUUUUGUGGUUGUAAAUGUUGAGAGUUUGUUUGGACUAACAUGAUUGGAUAGUAUCAUUGCAUUCUUGAUAAAAUAAAUUAAAUUAAAAUGCUAAAUUGUGUAUCAUUUGUGAUAGGUCAUUAACCUUUUUGAGAUUUUUUAGCCUUAUUAUGAAUGAAAUGCAUUUUUACAUAUUUUUUUCUUGUGUGUUAUAUCACUCAUGAUUGCUAGUUACGCCAUAACUUGACUUGACACUUGCCCGCAUGAAUAUAUUGAAAUGAUCUAGCAUUUGUUUCUUAAUUAAGCUACUAGCCAAAUAAUCUUACCCCACAAUUAUCCAUUUGUUUAAGCCCCUUUGAUUCUAAUUAUCUCAUUCUUUGUUAUAUAUUUCAUUACAAGCCUAAAAGUGAAAAACAAUGAAUUGACCCAAUCUUGGUGGAUAAAGGAGUCUUUCCUUAAAUAAGUGUAGAUGUGCUCAACUUGUUUGUUUAAAUUUGAGGUUAUGAAAAAAAAAUAGAGAGAAAAAGAAAGAAUAUAUAUAUAUAUAUAUAUAUAUAUAUAUAUAUAUAUAUAUAUAUAUAUAUGAGGAAAAAUGGGUGUGUGAGCAAAGAGAGUGUGAAAAUAAAAGUCAAUGAUGUUUUGUUAAGUUACUUCUUAAUGUUGUUUUUCUUUCUUAAUCAUUACUCAUUUAUCCUCUUUGAUUUUCAGCCCUAGUCUCUUUAGGAUUAUCUCACUCUAACCUUGGCCACGUUACAACAUGAAUAAAGAUAUUUUGAUCAUUAUGUGCAUGUGUUUCAAAUAUAGAUUAUGGAGGCUUGCCAAGUCUAUAGAUUAUGUGCAUGUGUUUCAAGAUGUGCUUUGAGUGUAAACAGUAGUCCAAACACUUUGAGAGAAUUUUAUAUCCUGGGAGGACUCUACCACUUAUGAUGCAUUCUUUAGUUAACUUGUCCUUUUGUUUGCCUUGGUUGUGAUAAAAAAAAUUAUUCAUGAUUGCCUUAUCACAACCAAGGCAUAAGGCAAUCAUGAAUAAUUAUUCACCACUUUGCAUUCAUAAGAAUAUUUGGAAUUGCAUGGAUUGGUUUGCUCGGAGUGCAAAGGUUUAAGUGUGAGAGAAUUUGAUCAUACCAUUUGGGCACAUGUUUCUAGCUUUUUAGUUUGAUAUUUUAAAAGCUCUUUAUAGCCUAGAUUAAUAUUUUUAGCUUGUUUCUAAACUUUGGAUGAAUUUGAAUUAUAAUUUUAUUAUUUGUAUUUUGACUCUUGUUCGCUCUAUAGGCCAUAAAUUAAGCUCUGAAUAUUGGAUUAGCGCAUACGAGUAGGCGUUGGAAAGCUAAAAAUCAGAGCUACAACUUUUAUGUUGAAAAAAAAGACCAAUUCUAAAUUUUAUUGGGCCUAAAUUGCAUAUUUCGUAAUCUGAACUUUUGUAAUAAUUUUAAAUAGCGGGUCACUUUUUUAAACCAUAAAUCCCAAUAUCGAGUACUAUAUAUUUACAGUUUUGAUUCUUUUCUACAGACGGAAAAAUUAGGAUUCAGAUUGCUAUAAGAAAUAAAUAGUUUUUAUUUUAAUUUCAUGGAAGACUAAUUUUAUAAGAUUAAUCCACGAGUUCAGAGUUUCAUCAGCACCUUGAGAUUCAGGUUACACCGUCAAUUUCGAUUCAUGAUUAUAUUCUUGUUUAUUUGAUUAUAUUGAUAUUUUGAUUGCUUAAAUUCGAUUUCAAUAGGAUCGAUUAAAUUUAUUUGAUAGAAUUUGAUUUCAGUUUCUAAUUUAAUUGAAUUAUAAUUUUGCGAAGCUUGAUCGUUAAUUGUAAUAUUUUGAUGAUUGUGAUGCUUAAUCCGAUCAAAGAAACCAAAUUCACAUACGAUUGAUUACGCUUGUUUGAUCAAUUCUAUAGUCAAAUAAGAAUAGAAUCACAAAUUUGAAAUUAAAUUCAUUGAUAGAAUAUGUGAUAGAUUACGAUUGUAUUGUAUAUUUCAAUUCGGUUAUUAUUAUUACAUUUUAUUAAUUAUAUUUGACAUUUGUGCUACAGCGGAUCACACCUCUACUUUUUGUACACAUGUGCGAUAUUUAGUUAAUCACAUAUAAAAAUAUGAUUAAUCCAGUUGAGUAAUUGGCUAAUUUAACUGCAGGAUUAAUCAACAUUUUUAAAGUGGUCUAAAUUAAUCAUCUAUUCAACAAAAUUAAUUACCUUUUCAUACGUGAUAAACCAAGUGUCACAUAUGAAAAUAAAAAUAAAUAAAUAAAAAAGUCGGUGUACAUAAAAAUUCUUGUUUGCCCGAUACCUCUACUCUAGGAGAAUAUGAAUCAACUUUGAAUGGUACCAUAAGUUUUGGAAAUUAGCUACAUGGAUGCAUGUGCACAACAAAUCCAUCUUCUUGGGUACAACAAUGGUACCACACAACACACAAGUUUACAAAAGUAGUUCUGCAUGAAUGCAAUGUAAAGUAAACACCUUCUUAGAGACAACCAUAAAGUUCGAAAAUGAUCAUGUAGUUGUGAUGCAUGGACGACAUGUACUCAAACUUAGUCCACUUUGAGGAAUAAAUGAAUAUACAAUACGACAAGUUUUGCAUGCAAUUCAGAAAUUUAUUCCCUAUAUAAUGGGACACUUGUAACACUCUCAUACUCACCUCACUAACAUUGAUCAAUCGUCACUUCUUCAUAGCCAACCAAAUGGAGUUUGCACAUUUAUUUAUUUUAGAUAUGUUUUGUGCACCCGUAUAAGACUAUAUGCCAUCAUUUAGAAAUUAAUCAAUAUUGAAAAAGUUGAAUUCAAUUGCCACCAAGUGCAAGCAAGAACCGCUUAUGUGGUCUCAUUGGUAGCCCUUAGUAGGGUUGUGCAAAAAGUUCGAUUAUAAGGUCUAAAUUUAAAAUCGGAUCCAAAUCCAUUUUAAAUAUCUGAUUAAAAUUAUAUGGUUAUAAUUCGGUUUAUUUAUAAACCGGUUGGAUAACUAUUUAUGUUUUAUAUUUGGAUUUGGUUUUUAUCCACUACCAAUAUUUUGUUAAUUUUGAGAAUUUAUUUCUUGAAAAAAAUUUGAAAUUUAUUUUUUUCAAAAAAGUAUCGGAAAAAAAUAUAAAAAAAAACUUUAUUUUCUCAGAAAAAUUUUAUAUCGAAGAGUAAAAUUUUAAAAAAAGUUAUUGAAAAAAUCGAUUUUUUUAAAUAACCGAUUUUUAAACUAUGAAUAAAUGAUUUUUGAAAAAAUAAUCAAACUUUAAUCAAUUUUGAAAAAAAAAAUCGAUUUUAAAAUUAAAAUUUUCAAAAUCAGUUGCUUAAUUAUUAACUGGUUAUUUAACCAUAACCAAUUUUACAAUUGAUUUUAUAACCGCAUUUAAACCAAAUAUUGACUUGUUUAUAAAUCUAAAUCCAUAUAUUAGUUUUAAAAUAGAUAUGAUUUGAUUUUUUUUUUAAACCAACUAUGGACAGUCUUACCUGAUAGAACUAAGGUUAACGCUUUAACAAUUUGUUACUGUUGAAUUUUGAAUUUCAAAAACUAUUUAAAAUUCACAAUUUAUGCCACCGAAGAUAUUACUGGGUUGAGUCGCGGACUAGGUCGCUCUCUUUAAGACGUUUCGCGACACUGCCCAAAUUGUGCAAGGCCGACUAUCAACCACGAAGUCCCCAGGAUAAAACAGCCCAGAUUCACUGUAUCGGAGUUCCACUGCACCGUGGAAAACCGUUCUAGAAUUACACCCUCAAUAUGGCAGUUUAAGCCACUCUCAAUAUGACAAUUAAAGUCACUCUCAAUAUGGUACUAUGACCAUUCAUAACUACGGUAUAAUAACCGCUCAAAAAGACAAACAAACGAAUGGACUACGGCAUAAUAACCGCUCAAAAAGACAAACAAACGAAUGGACUACGGCAUAAUAACCGCUCUAAAAACAAAGUGAUUACGGCAUAGCAACCGCUCUAAAAACAAAAGAACUACGGCAUAACAACCGCUUUAAAACCGAAGGGACUACGACAUAAUAACCGCUCUAAAACCGAAGGGACUGUGGCAUAAUAACCGCUUUAAAACUGAAGGGACUGCGGCAUAAUAACCGCUCUAAAACCGAAGGGACUGCGGCAUAAUAACCGCUCUAAAACCGAAGGGACUGCGGCAUAAUAACCGCUCUAAAACCGAAGGGACUGCGGCAUAAUAACCGCUCUAAAACCGAAGGGACAGAAAUAAAGGGGAGAAGUUGCUCGAAAAUUAGGCGAGCAGAAUAUAAGAGGGAGAAAAGAGAAAGUUGGGAAAAGCAUCCAACUUUGGUGUGUUUUUCACAAUAGCUUGAAACUCAUUAUAUAGUGAUGGAAGCAAAGUCACAUAUGUUUUCUAAACAAUGUGGGACUUUAGUAUGUAUAGAAUUAAAACUACACAAAACAUGAUAGUUUUUCAAAGUGGGAUUUCAAAAAAUAUUCUUACCAAUGUGGGACUUGAAUUUUAAAAAACAAGUUUCUUUCCACUUAAAUUUACAAAAAAUAUUUAUUUCCAAUGUGGGACUUCAACACAUUUUUAAAUUCACACUAUAACAUACAUAUGUUCCAACAAUCCCCCACUUGAAUUUAAAAAAGUUUCUUAAAAUAACAUCAAGUUAAAAUUUUUUUCUUAAAAUAGCAUCAAGUGCUUCUAUAAGAUCAUGCAUAAACAAAUGUGUCUUUCGACUUGAACCUUUGCAUAGCGAGUAAGAUUCAGAUUCAACAAGAGUAACCGUAGUUUUGAACUCUAUCUCUGACAUCAAACCCACACACAACCUUGUCAUUAGGUGUAUUCUAAAAAGCCCGUGCAUUUAGGGCCCUGCACGUGUAUCCCAGUCUAGUGAACGCUAUAGGAAUUCUGCCUCGAAAUUCCAUAGGAAGCGGCCCCCACUUCCACAUUCACGUAGAUGAGUCUAUCAAGAGUACUCCUGUAGCCACUAGGUACCCCACUCCAUAUAGAGUAUAGAUCUCAUUAAGAGUUUCUAUUAUCUCAUCCUUUUAUCGCUUCAGGAAUCAUGCUUCUCAUUUUAAACAUAGCAUGUUCAUCUCAUAUCACUAUGACUUGUUAUUACCCAUUGAACCUAAUUCUUGGGAUCUCCAGUCUUUUAGGUCGGGUUACCAUCAUAAGUGACUCAUUUAUCUAUAGGCAUUAGUCCCAUCCUUUUGGAUGUAUUUUGGACUUUCUCUCUAGCUAAUCCUUUCGUCAAAGGAUCAGCUAAAUUUUCAUCAGUGCGUACAUGAUCCACAAUAACAGCUCCUUUCGAAAGUAAUUCUCUAAUUGUGCUGUGCUUACGACGUAUUUGUCGUCUCUUACCGUUAUAAUAAUGAUUCUCAAUUUUUGCAAUAGCCGCGGUACUAUCACAGUGGAUCAACACAGCUGGUAACGACUUAUCCCAUAAAGGGAUUUCUGUUAGCAAGCAUCUCAACCACCUUGCUUCUUCACUAGUAGUAGCUAGUGCUAUCAUUUCAGACUCCAUAGUGGACUGAGCGAAUAUCGUCUGUUCUUCGAUUUCCAAGAUACAAUACCAUUCACUAUAUUAAAAUAUAGUCAUCGAUUGCUUUGGAGUCAUCUGAUAAGAUGUUCCAAUCAGCAUCAUUGUAUCCUUCAAGGAUAGUAGGAAAUCUUCGAUAAUAUAAUCCGAGACUCAUGGUCCUUUUCAGGUAUCUCAUGACUCUUUCCAUAGCGUGCCAAUGCUCCAUACUAGGUCUACUAGUAAACCUGCACAAUAACCCCACGACAUAGGCAAUGUCGGGUCUAGUACAAUCAGGGGCAUCCCUGAGGCNNNNNNNNNNNNNNNNNNNNNNNNNNNNNNNNNNNNNNNNNNNNNNNNNNNNNNNNNNNNNNNNNNNNNNNNNNNNNNNNNNNNNNNNNNNNNNNNNNNNNNNNNNNNNNNNNNNNNNNNNNNNNNNNNNNNNNNNNNNNNNNNNNNNNNNNNNNNNNNNNNNNNNNNNNNNNNNNNNNNNNNNNNNNNNNNNNNNNNNNNNNNNNNNNNNNNNNNNNNNNNNNNNNNNNNNNNNNNNNNNNNNNNNNNNNNNNNNNNNNNNNNNNNNNNNNNNNNNNNNNNNNNNNNNNNNNNNNNNNNNNNNNNNNNNNNNNNNNNNNNNNNNNNNNNNNNNNNNNNNNNNNNNNNNNNNNNNNNNNNNNNNNNNNNNNNNNNNNNNNNNNNNNNNNNNNNNNNNNNNNNNNNNNNNNNNNNNNNNNNNNNNNNNNNNNNNNNNNNNNNNNNNNNNNNNNNNNNNNNNNNNNNNNNNNNNNNNNNNNNNNNNNNNNNNNNNNNNNNNNNNNNNNNNNNNNNNNNNNNNNNNNNNNNNNNNNNNNNNNNNNNNNNNNNNNNNNNNNNNNNNNNNNNNNNNNNNNNNNNNNNNNNNNNNNNNNNNNNNNNNNNNNNNNNNNNNNNNNNNNNNNNNNNNNNNNNNNNNNNNNNNNNNNNNNNNNNNNNNNNNNNNNNNNNNNGUGCCUUGUAUUUAUCAACAGAUCCAUCGGGUUUUAGUUUCUUUUCCAAAAUCCAUUUACAAACUAUUGGUUUGCAACCAAGAGACAAGUAUACUAAAUGUCAGGUUCGAUUAGACUCUAGAGAAUCCAUUUCAUCGUUUAUAGCUUCUUGCCAUAGAUCUGCAUCCAAUGAUUACAUAGCUUCUUUCAGAUUUGUAGGAUCCUCUUCUAGAUUAUAAGCCAUAUAUUCUGGUCCAUAAUAUAUAGCAACUCUUACUCUGUUACUCCUUCAAGUUUCUGUUUCGUCUUUUAUUUUUUAUUUUUUUAUUGCUUUCAAUGCUUCUUGUCACAUGAACUUGACUAAGUUCGCUUCCCCCACUAUUUCACAGUAACUUGACUAGGUUUGCUGCCCCCACUAUUUCUCAAUUUAAAAGGGGAUUUAUUUUCAUAGAAGUCAACUUCAUUUGACUUUAUGAUCACUUUUGCGUUUAAGUCAUAAAACCUAUACGCUUUGUUCUUUACCGCAUACCCAAUGAAUUCUCAUUCAUAGGCUCUACUGGCGAGUUUAACUCGCUCGGGAUCGGGAUUCUGACAUAAGUCAGACCACCCCAUGUUUGAAAAUAAGACAAGUUCAAUUAUCUUUUCUUCACUAUCUCAUAAGGAGAUGUUUUGUUUUUAGAUUUAAGAACUCUAUUCAAAACAUAGCAAAUAAACAAUAUAUUUUCUUCACACCAAUGAGAUGUAGUACUAGAGUUAAACAUACUAGCAACAACUAGUUCAAUAAAAGUUAUAUUCUUUUUUUCUUUUCAACUUUACCAUUCACUUCAAGUAAUUAUGGUGUAGUUGUUCCAUGUAUAAUUCCAAACAAUUUAUAAAACUCAUUUAAUAAACUAAAUCAUACUUGGAAUCUCUUAAUCUUUAUACUAAAUUGAUUUUCAAUUUCAGCUGUAAAGAUCCUUAACAUGCCAAGCGUUUCACUUUUAUUUUUCAUUUCUUGGUAACGUCUCAUCAAGUUCACAUAUGUCAAAGUGUAAUAAAUCUAAAGACUUAGAUUCUCUAACUACAUAUUUAUGUGAACUCUUUGUUAUUUUAGAGUGACUAUAAAAAUCACAUUUUUCAAAAUCAUUUAACAAUAACUUUAGAAUUAAAACUAAGUUACUUAAUUUUGAAAUCAGAUGUGUUCACAUCACAUAGUCUAGCAUGUCAAAAUUAAAAUCACACAACAUGUAAGCAUAAACAGACAUUUUAUUGAUUUCAACAUUCAAACAAAAGAGACAUAUUAAAUUUCAAUAUUUAAUUUAAAUAUGCCAUGAAUGACGUACCUUAAUAGCUUAUCUCAUGAAUUAUCUUCUGAAUUCUACGGGAGUGUGCCUCCACGUCCAUGAAUCUAUCAGCCUCCAUGUGCCUCCACGGAUCUGUCAGCCUCCAUGUAUCAGACAUCUGAUACUCUCUGAUACUCUAGGUAGCAAUCACAACUUACUUAGAGUAUCUCAAACAUAUCUCGCAUUAUUGCUGGAACUGUAAUAGUUAUACAGAUCAUCAGCAAGUCGAUUAAGAAUAUAAUUCUUAUCAUUAUUCUCCCAUGGGUUAAUUCUCCAACUGUUUUAUCCUUUUCUAUUUGCUUCAAACUGAAACAGUUUAUCAAAAUGAGAGGCAACAUAACCAAAUCCAGUAAUCUCUUCGGUUGACAUGGCAGAACGAAACGUCUUAAAAUUGUUGGAUUUUGAAUUUCAAAAACUAUUUAAAAUUCACAAUUUAUGCCACCGAAGAUAUUACUGGGUUGAGUCGCGGACUAGGUCGCUCUCUUUAAGACGUUUCGCGGCACUGCCCAAAUUGUGCAAGGCAGACUAUCAACCACGAAGUCCCCAGGAUAAAACAGCCCAGAUUCACUGUAUCGGAGUUCCACUGCACCGUAGAAAACCGUUCUAGAAUUACACCCUCAAUAUGGCAGUUAAAGCCACUCUCAAUAUGACAAUUAAAGUCACUCUCAAUAUGGUACUAUGACCAUUCAUAACUACGGUAUAAUAACNNNNNNNNNNNNNNNNNNNNNNNNNNNNNNNNNNNNNNNNNNNNNNNNNNNNNNNNNNNNNNNNNNNNNNNNNNNNNNNNNNNNNNNNNNNNNNNNNNNNNNNNNNNNNNNNNNNNNNNNNNNNNNNNNNNNNNNNNNNNNNNNNNNNNNNNNNNNNNNNNNNNNNNNNNNNNNNNNNNNNNNNNNNNNNNNNNNNNNNNNNNNNNNNNNNNNNNNNNNNNNNNNNNNNNNNNNNNNNNNNNNNNNNNNNNNNNNNNNNNNNNNNNNNNNNNNNNNNNNNNNNNNNNNNNNNNNNNNNNNNNNNNNNNNNNNNNNNNNNNNNNNNNNNNNNNNNNNNNNNNNNNNNNNNNNNNNNNNNNNNNNNNNNNNNNNNNNNNNNNNNNNNNNNNNNNNNNNNNNNNNNNNNNNNNNNNNNNNNNNNNNNNNNNNNNNNNNNNNNNNNNNNNNNNNNNNNNNNNNNNNNNNNNNNNNNNNNNNNNNNNNNNNNNUAAGAGGGAGAAAAGAGAAAGUUGGGAAAAGCAUCCAACUUUGGUGUGUUUUUCACAAUAGCUUGAAACUCAUUAUAUAGUGAUGGAAGCAAAGUCACAUAUGUUUUCUAAACAAUGUGGGACUUUAGUAUGUAUAGAAUUAAAACUACACAAAACAUGAUAGUUUUUCAAAGUGGGAUUUCAAAAAAUAUUCUUACCAACGUGGGACUUGAAUUUUAAAAAACAAGUUUCUUUCCACUUAAAUUUACAAAAAAUAUUUCUUUCCAAUGUGGGACUUCAACACAUUUUUAAAUUCACACUAUAACAUACAUAUGUUCCAACAGUUACCGUGAUACAAGAGGUAUGAAUUCGGAAUUGCUUUAUGAAGUUCUUAAAAUAAAAUCUCGUAUAUUUAAAAUAAAAUUAGUUAGUUCUAUUCUAGUUAGAAGUAGAACUACCGGUGUAUUUUUAUAUGACCGGCAAACAACUUAGUAUCCUAUUACCAAUAGAUCAAUGUAUAUUUGAAAUUGAUAAUGAAAAAAAAAAAUUAUUUGAUAUAAUAUUUUGUUGAUAUAUGUACUUUUAAAGAGUAGUCUGUGACCACAAAAAAUAAUAAUUCUGGUUAAGAUUUAAAUUACAUUUAGCCACAAAUUUAUAGGUUGUUUCAUUUUAUCAAAUUAAUUAAAACAAUAAGUUGUAUCUUAUUUAGGGGUGGAAAUAGGUCAGGUCAGACCAAACUUUGAAAGACCUGAGUCUGGCCUACAAUUAAUUUUUUAGGCUUAAGCCUGACCUACGACCUAUUAUAGACUUUUUUUCGGCCUGACCUAACCUUUUCAAAAGUCUGGCCUGACUUGGAAGCCUAUUUAAAAGUCUUAUUCAUAUUAAAACAUUUAAAUGUUCUACUCAUACCACAUGUUCUCUACAUACCAAUAUCAAUGUACAUAUCUAUAUAUAUUAAACACAAAAUAAUUUUUCUAACAAAAUAAUUUUUAAACCCUAAAAAGAUUAUAUAUUAAAAAAAAUGUAGUAUAAAAAAUUGUUUAGUAAAAAAUAUUAAAGCACGUGUGGUUCAAUAUUUUUUGUUCUUAAACUCUAAGUUUAAAAUUUUAAAUUUAUAAAUUAUUGGACCUUUAUAGUUGAAUCUGUAAAAAAUUAUUGACAUUUUUUAAUCCUUAGACUUGAAUUAAAACCUUAUAAAAUUUAUGAAGAACAACAAAAAAAUUUAGAUUAUUUUUCUUAAGAAUCUCUUUUUUCAAUAAUUAUUCAUUCCUACUCACAUGUCAAAAAAAUUCUCUCUUGUUAAGAUGAUGGUUAAAUGGGAUCUUGACAUCUUGUCAUGCAAAAGUAUAAAAGUAUAUGUUUUGAUUGCAUUGAACAUAAGAAAAUUCAUUAUCAUUAUCUUAAUCAUAAGAUCCAAGCUGAAUUGAUUAAUAUGUAUAAAAAACAUAACAAAUUGAUUACUAUCACAUCAAAUAUAAUGAAAUGCAUUAUCAUAAUAUGACUUAUAAUAAAAUAAAGAACAUGAAUAAAAAUAAAAUGUAGCACCAAAUUCAAACUUCACACAUGACACCAAAAUUUUCAAGAAGGACUUUGUAAACACUCGUAACUUUUCUACAUUCAUUUAGCACUUCAUCCUCUUCUUAUCUCUCUCUUUCUAUUAGAUCACUAUCAUAUCACAUACAUUGCAUUAUUUUCUCUAUUAUUUCCUAUGAAGGUGUUGAUGAGGAGUAUGGAUAUCCAAAUAUAAUUUUUAAUUAGUUACAUAUGAUGUAGUGAAGUGUAAAUUAACAAACCAACUUCACAUAUCAACUCUUAUAUUUAAACCCCUCUAAUUUCUAUACACGCAUUCAAUACUUCAUUUUUUUUUCUCUAUUUCUCUUUCUUCCUAUGACAUUACUAACAUAUCACAUCUAUGAAAUUAUUAUAUUUUUUUGAUGCCAUGGUGUCAAAUUAGUGUUUGUAUAUCCACCAAGACUUCAUAUAAUUUGGGCAAACCAAAAGAAUGGUCCAUCUUGGACCAUCUUACCAUUUUAUUAUAACCUUAAAUAUAUUAUUAAAUAACUUCGACCAUGGACCAUCUUACCAUUUUAUUGUAACUAUAAAUAUAUUAUUAAACACUUGGAUGGUCCCAAUGCAUUUGNNNNNNNNNNNNNNNNNNNNNNNNNNGGAAAGAGAAAGUAGAGGAGAAACUAUGCCAAUAUUGAUUAGUUAGAUUUAGUGUAGAUGGUCCUUGAUAAGAUGUGGUGGAUGAUCAAAUAUAAUGGUGAAAAACAAUAGACCAACAUAGACCAAUGCCUCCAAUGUGUGAAUGCUAAAAGGAACUUUCACCAAACAUUUUUCCUUUACAUAUACAAUAACAAUAUUGUGUACAAUUGCAAGAUUGUGAUUCGAAGAUGGUUAUACACUGAUGGUGAUUCGAUAUUAGUAAUUUGGUAAUUGUGUUACGAUAAUAGAGAAAAGAGAAAAUAAUUAUAAUCCCCAAACUUAUUUAUGAUUUUGAAUGGAGGGACUAAUACAUAACACCUUCAACUUUUUUUCUUUUUUUUUUAAAACAAUUUAAUCAUUUAAUUUUAUUUUUUUAAUUAUUUAAUUUAUUCAAACUUACAAGGACGAAAAUGAGAAAGACACAAACUUAUAUGGACAAAUGAAAUAUCACGUCACUCACCGAUUUGUCACAUAAGUGUUUUGUUAACAACAACUAACGACAAAUAUUAUUUAAAAACUAAAUUAAACUUACAAAGUUUAAAUUGAAGAAGAAAAAAAAAACUUACAAGAACGGAAAUGAGAAAGUCGAAAACUUACAGUGACAAACAAAAUAUUUAAACCAUUUAUUUAUAAACAACUAGACGUCUAUCCGUGCUUCACACGAGUUGUCUAAAAAAUUUAUAUGAGAAAAGAGGACUAUAGUAUAAUAGUCUUAGUUUAUCAACGUAAGAAGAAGAAAAAAAGAUGAUACGUAAUAGUUGUAUCUUGUCUCUGAUCAUCAACUAUAAAUAUAUUUAAACUAUUUCUUGAUGUAACUCUUAAAAUUGUAACAUAUAAUUUUCUAGGUGAGAACAUAUUUUGAGGUAGAUAAACACUUACAUGCAUUAAAGAUGGACCCUUUUUUGAUGAAAACUUUAAAUAAUGUUGCGAAAAAGUCUCAUAGUCAAAGACCACAUAAACACAAAAUUUCACAAUAGGUUUAUGUGUUUACCUAUUGAAGCUUAGAAAAAACGAUCACCAAUAUCGCAAAUGAACAUCACUUCUACUCAAUCCACAUGCACGAUCAACCUUGGGAGAGCGUCGNNNNNNNNNNNNNNNNNNNNNNNNNNNNNNNNNNNNNNNNNNNNNNNNNNNNNNNNNNNNNNNNNNNNNNNNNNNNNNGUCGUGAUAACACAUAGAGAGAUGGAGGCACAAUUGUGUGUUUGUAAAAAAAAGGGUUAAGGAGGCAUAACCAUAUCUUAUAUAUAGGUCCUUAUUCCUAUUUUCACUUACCCUUAUCGGGCCUAAUACAUUGCGAGUCUAAAUUUCUAAUUUAAUUAAAUAUCAUUUUUCUAAUUAAUCACUCUAUACAUGUGACCUUAUAGGUUUCCACUAAGUUGACAAUAAUAUAAAAUAUUAUAAGUAAUGAGUGACACCCAACAAUGCAUCAUUUUUCCCCAAUUUAUGAAAAAACUGGUAAUCUGAUUUUAAACUUUUUACGAUCAUCUAAAUGUCUAAUUUAAUGCAAGUUAUAAUGUGUGUCACCCUCUUGCAAUGUCCAAUUAUCUAUUUCUCGGCCCUAGAGUAGACACAUAAGUAACAAUGCAUCCAAUAUCACAUAUUAUUCCAUUCUAGUUUGGCCAUACAUCUCCAUGGUCUUGCUCCAUCGAGAGGCCAAACACCUAACUUAUAAUAUGUAAGAGAGACAAAUUCUAUCUAUAUCACACACACUCCUCUACAUAGUUAAUUGUAGAAUCAAUAACCACAUUUAUGAUUGUCUUGUUACAAACAAUGUUUGAUAGUCUUAAAGUAUACAACUUUCCUUGUAAGGAUCAUAUAGACUUCAAUUCGAAGGACUACUCACUAUGGUUGCAUGAGAAUUAGUCUUGUACAUCAUGUGAAUGUACAAAUUUACUUAGUGAGAUUUUAUAGUGACUAAAAUUAGUUUCACAAAAUAGUAGGAUUUUAUAAGGACUAAAAACUUGUUUAAUUCUAUACAUCAUGACAAACAUAUAUCAUAUUCAUGUAUUAUGUCAUGAACAAUUAGCCAUAGAUCUAGUCUUGAAUAAAAAUCAUGUAGGAUAUGAUCUUCCUUCACUUCUUUUUAAAAUGUUGAUAGGUAAGUAUAUAAUAACAUCAUGAUACUUUGCAAAUGUCUCAAGACGUAUUUAUAGAGAAAGUGAAGAGGAUACCUACCUUUUCAUGUAAGGUUAUAAUGGUUAACUAAUUAUUUUAUAAAUAUUCAUAAGGUAUCAAUUAAUACCCUUUUGUGAAGAGUUGAAAUGGUUCCAUCCAUCACGAUCCAUACCACUAUAGGCUACAUUAUUCAAGCGCACUCGCCAUAUGAUGUCCAAUAUCUUUUUGAUCACCAGAUAGAUAUUUCAUGACCUAUCAAAAUACCAUUCAACCAAAGUUUUAUAAAUCAAUGGAAGAUCAAUAGUUAGAAAUCAAAAUUCUUACAUUCUCUCACGCAGGAAACAUUGAUUUAGGAAAUAAAACAAAGAAGGUAGCAAGAAAAAAAAAACUUUGAAAUCAAAAUAAAUAAAAAAACUCAAUCAAAAAUCGAAUAAUUGUGGUGAUAUUAACAUCUUGACUAUAAUAACAAGUAAACAUGAUCACUUUCGACCAACAAGACUUAUCACUUAGAGCUAUAGGUUAAAUUAUAGAAACAUGUUAACUUAUAAAUGAUGCAUAUAUAAAGUUAAUAUGUAAGUCUAAUCAUGAUAAAACAAGUCGAUUAGUUUAAUAGACUACAAUCAUAAGAGUCAUUUAUAAAAAUUACAACAAUGACUUAUUAAUGAUAUUUAAAUUAACAAAAAAGAAGUAAACAAAACAAAUGAUAGUAUAUAACAUCCCCUUCAACUGUUAUAGUCCUUAUUAUUGAUAAUGGUAAGUGGUGAUGAUAAGUUUUUUAAAAUAUGUAUGUUUUGAUAAAACAUAUGUUUUUUGAUAUGAUAAUCGAUUAAUGUCAGAAUUUAAUCAAUUAGGAUAUAGUAAAAGGGUUAAACUAGUUAAGAAUUAUCAAGUAGUGAUGUAAGAGUAAUCUAUUAGUUUAAAUUUAGAUAAAAUAAUUGAUUAACAAAGAUAUGGUUAUUGAAAAGAAGGAUAUAUAGACUUUGUAAAAUAUGUACAUUAAAAAUAACAGAUUAGUAAGAUUGUGUUAAUCAAUUAAGAUAGUAAUCAUGAUUUAUUAUAUAAUAAGGUUAAGAAUAAUCAGUUAAGGAGUACUAGAUAAUCAAUUAGAUUGAGAAUCAUAAUCUAAUAGUGAAUAAGUUAUUAAUUUAUCUAUUAAAAACUUAGAGUUUAUCAAAACAAUAAACUAAGUUAUUGAUUAACUAGUAAUUAGGACUUAGAUAUUAAGUGAUGGUCUAAUGAAUUACAUUUAGGUUAGCAAGAUUAAUUGUUAAUUACAAUUAUUUGAUAGAUUGAUGAUAACUAUUAAUCUGUUGUGGUACACUUAAUCAUCUAUAUAUUGAGGAUAACUGUUAAUCUGAUUGUUGAUGAUGAAUGUUAUGUUCUACAUGUUAUGUGUGUUAAUAAUCCAUGUCAAUUACAUGAUGAAUAACCAAAGGCGGAAGCGUACCUGUGGGAAUUGCCAUUAAUGAAAUCCUAGGAUGAUGAUGAUAGAGCCAAUGGGUUGAGUGAUCUUCCUCAGCAAAACACUCUGAAGACAUUGCUCUCUUGAUGGGGAUAGAGAGAACCAGAGAGUUUUCUCCUUUAGGGUUUUGAAACUGAAUAGUCUUGUUGUGUUUGCCUUGGGGACCAUUACCCCUAUAUAUAACUAUUAUUAGUUAUAUCCCAAAUUGCAGUAUUUCCAAUUCAGCCCCUCAUUAAAUAAGAAACUGCCUGGUAUAUACACUAUUAAUUUUCAUAACUAUUAUGCUCUUUAGCCAUAAACUAUUAUAUAUUAUUUGACCCCUAGUUUAUUGGCUAAUUACAUAAUGACCCUAACACACUUUAUUAAUUAAUUACAUAUGUGACUCAUAAAUCUUACAAUCUCCCACUGUUCACACAUGUAUCCUUAGGAGUGUGUUAGACUUUAUGACGUCAAAAAAUGUCAUUAUAAUUACCUUGAGUAUAAUCCAAAUUGUCCCGUCCAUUAAUCAUAUUAGCACAUGGAACCAAAGAGGCUUUCGUCAUAAUAAGCAUAACUGAACUCAUCAAUGAUCACCCGUACUGACACAACUAAAUGACAUAGACCCAUUAUGAAAAGUGUAGCAUGAAAAUUACAUGAAGUCGGUCAAUGCAUGUCAAUUUUCAACUGGUCCUACUUUAUCGAAUGAGAUCAUACCAUAACUUAAAUGUACAAAGUAACCAAAAAACUGAAUACCUUAAACUUUAUUUCUGAUCAGAAAGUCCAAAUACAAUGUAUUUGUACUUUACAAUUAAACAUAGAACAUGAAUUACAUAAUGGACGAAACUCCCACUAAAAUCAAGAUUCCUCAAACUGUAGCACACCCAUGUGAGCAGUAUGCUCAUGAAAGACCUUGGGUGGUAGACCUUUAGUGAGUGGAUCCGCAAUCAUGGAGUUUGUCCUUAAGUGUUCUAUGGAUAUCUGUCCACUUUGUACCUUCUCUUUAACAACUAGGAACUUAAUGUCAAUGUGCUUUGACUUGGUUGAGCUCCUAUUAUUGUUAGAAUACAGGACUGCUGAUCUAUUGUCACAAUACAACUUGAGUGGUCUUUCAAUCCCUUCAACUAUUUGCAGCCCCGUGACAAAAUUUCUCAGCCAAAUGCCCUGGUCAGAUGCCUCAUGAAUUGCUACGAAUUCUGCUGCCAUGGUUGAUGAGGCAGUAAGACCUUGCUUGGCACUACGCCAAGAAACUGCUCCACCAGCUAACAGAAAGACAUAGCCUGAAGUUGAUCUUAAGCUGUCUUGGCAUCCCGCAAAAUCCGAGUCAGAGUACCCAGUGAUCUCUAACUGGUCUGACCUCCUAUAUGUGAGCAUGUAGUUUCUUGUUCUCUUCAAAUAUCUCAUGACCCUCUUGGCUGCUUUCCAAUGGUCAAGACCUGGAUUGCUUAAAUAUCUGCCUAAAAUCCCUACUAUGAACGCUAUGUCUGGACGCGUACAUACUUGGGCAUACAUAAGACUCCCUACAGCUGAAGCAUAAGGGAUCUUUUGCAUUUCUUGAAUUUCCAAACUUCCCUUAGGGCACUGUUUGAGACUAAACUUGUCUCCCUUAGCAACUGGGGUGUCCCCUGGUUUGCAAUCCUGUAACCCAAACCUUUUGAGAACCUUAUCGAUAUAGCUCUUUUGUGACAAUCCAAGAAUACCUCGAGAUCUGUCUCGGUGUAUCUGAAUUCCUAAUACAAAAGAGGCGUCACCAAGAUCUUUCAUCUCAAAAUGCUUUGAUAGAAAUUUCUUAGUUUCGUGCAACAUGCCUAUAUCGUUAGUGGCAAGCAGUAUGUCAUCAACAUACAAGACCAGGAAAAUAUGUCUGCUCCCACUGAACUUAUGAUACACACAAUCAUCAACUGUAUUCAUCUCAAAACCAAAUGAGAGAAUUACUUGAUGAAAUUUAUGGUACCAUUGACGAGAAGCUUGUUUUAGCCCAUAAAUGGAUUUUCUUAGUUUGCACACCAUAUUCUUUGGGUCUCCCAACACAAAGUUUUCUGGCUGCACCAUAUAGAUCGUCUCAUCAAUGUCGCCAUUGAGAAAAGCUGUUUUUACAUCCAUUUGAUGAAGCUCCAAAUUAAAGUGAGCAACAAGAGCCAUGAUUAUUCUUAAAGAGUCCUUCGAUGAAACCGGAGAGAAAGUCUCUUUAUAAUCAAUCCCUUCCUUUUGAGUAUAACCCUUAGCUACAAGACGUGCCUUAUAUCUCUCCACAUUACCAUUGGAAUCCCGCUUGGUUUUAAAAAUCCAUUUGCAACCAAUGGGUUUCUUUCCUUCAGGUAAUGGGAUAAGUUCCCAAACUGAAUUGUCUUGCAUAGACUUGUACUCCUCAUUCAUUGCUUCGAUCCACUUAUCUGAACGAGAAUCUUGCAUGGCUUGAUGAAAGUUGACUGGGUCGUCUUCCGUCAUGCCAACAUUUUCCUCUACCUCAUUGAUAAAUACUACAUAAUCAUCCGAAAUAGCAUUUUUCCUUUCUCUAGUGGAUCUCCGCAAUGGAGCUGGCUCUUGAGGCACUUGUUCUUGAGGAUCUUGAAUUUGAUCUGGAUUUUGUUCUUCCUGAACAACCAGAUCAUCUUGAGUUUGUUCAAUAAUGGGAAAGUCAAUUGGUGGAAGAAUCAGUUCUGGAAUUGUUACCGAUUCUUCCUCAAAGACAAAAUCUUUAACCUUAAUCUUCCCCCCAAACUCAAUAUCCUCAAAGAACGUUGCCGUUCCCGUCUCAAAAAUUGUUCUCAAAUUAGGAUCAUAAAAUUUAUAGCCCCUUGAUUUUUCUGAGUACCCUAUAAAAUAGCUGCUAAUUGUUCGGGGUUCAAAUUUCUUUUCAUUCGGCCUAUAAGGCCUUGCCUCAGCUGGACAUCCCCAAACAUGAAGGUGCUUCAGACUAGGCUUACGCCCAAUCCAAAGCUCAUAAGGUGUUUUAGCCGCUGCCUUAGUUGGUACUCUAUUAAGAAUGUAUGCUGCUGUUUUUAAUGCCUCUCCCCAGAGUGACUCUGGCAAGGUGGAAUGACAAAUCAUACUCCUUACCAUAUCCUUAAGAGUCCUGUUUCGUCUUUCAGCUACACCAUUCAUGCUGGGUGACCCCGGCAUAGUGUAUUGUGGGACGAUUCCACAUUCCUCUAGGUAUUUGGCAAAUGGUCCCGGACGUUGUUCACCUGAACCGUCAUAUCUGCCGUAGUAUUCACCACCACGAUCAGAUUUGACCUUUUUAAUUCUUUUAUUAAGUUGAUUCUCAACUUCUGCCUUAAAGGAUUUGAACACGUCUAUUGAUUGGGACUUUUCGUGAAUUAGGUAAAGGUAGGCAUAUCUAGAAUAAUCGUCUAUGAAUGAUAUAAAAUAUUGUUGACCAUUCCAAGAAGGAGUUGGAAAUGGCCCACAGAUGUCCGUAUGUAUCAAUUCUAAGACGUCUGUAGCUCUAUAUGCGCCUAAUUUCUUAUCUUUAGUCUGUUUUCCUUUAAUGCAUGCUACACAAACGUUAAAGUCUGUGAAGUCAAUGGAAUCUAAAAUUCCAUCUGACACAAGUCGUUCAACUCUAUUUUUAGAGAUGUGACCUAGACGCUUGUGCCAAAGCACCCCUGAAUUGAAAUUGUCAAUUUUCCGCUUAGUACCACGUGAUUCCACAUUCAAGGUUUCAUUAUAGUUAGCCACAGUUUCCAACAAAUAAAGAUUAUCAUAACCAGAAAGUAAACCGGUUCCAACAACAUUCGAAUUUAAAGACAAAGUAAAUUCUUUAUUCCCGAAUGAACAAUAAUAUCCUGAUUUGUCCAAAUAAGAAAUAGAGAUCAAAUUCCGUCUAAAUGACGGUACAACAAAAGUGUCUUUUAAAUCCAAAUAAUGACCGGAACUUAAUAAUAAUCUAAAUUUUCCUAUGGCUUCAACUUCUACCUUCUUCCCAUCUCCUACAUAGAUCCAUCUUUCAGUAUCACUAGGCUUUCGGAAGUUCAGGCAACCCUGCAUUGAAACACUGAUGUUAGUAGUUGCACCAGAGUCUAACCACCAAGUGUUUCUAGGUACUGAAGCUAAAUUAACCUCAGAACAGACCAAAGACAGAAUCAUACCUUUCUUAACACGCCAAGCGUGAUAUUUGGCACAAUCCUUCUUCACGUGUCCAGAACUCCUGCAGAAGAAGCAGUUGUUAUCCUUAGUCUGCUUCUUUUGUUCUGGACCCUUAGCAGCAGCUUUGUUCUUGGGCUCCUCAAUUCUUUUCCUUUUGCCCUUGUCUUUAGAGAUGCUAGUAAAGUGAGCACUUUCAGUCCUAUCUUGCUUCAGCCUGUCCUCUUCUUGCACACAUAAUGAAAUGAGCUCAUUAAGAGUCCAUUUCUCCUUUUGACAAUUAUAAGUCACCUUAAACUGACUGAAUUGCGAAGGAAGAGACAGCAAUACUAAAUGAAUGAGUAAGUCAUCUGACAACUCAAGCUUUAGACCUUUAAGCUUAGAAGCAAUGUUGGACAUCAUCAUAAUGUGCUCUCUUAUAUUUCCCUUGCCUUGAUACUUCAUGGAAAUUAAAUUCUGAAGCAAAGAACUUGUUUCAGCCUUAUCACUUUUUACAAAGCGUUUUUCCAUCUCAACAANNNNNNNNNNNNNNNNNNNNNNNNNNNNNNNNNNNNNNNNNNNNNNNNNNNNNNNNNNNNNNNNNNNNNNNNNNNNNNNNNNNNNNNNNNNNNNNNNNNNNNNNNNNNNNNNNNNNNNNNNNNNNNNNNNNNNNNNNNNNNNNNNNNNNNNNNNNNNNNNNNNNNNNNNNNNNNNNNNNNNNNNNNNNNNNNNNNNNNNNNNNNNNNNNNNNNNNNNNNNNNNNNNNNNNNNNNNNNNNNNNNNNNNNNNNNNNNNNNNNNNNNNNNNNNNNNNNNNNNNNNNNNNNNNNNNNNNNNNNNNNNNNNNNNNNNNNNNNNNNNNNNNNNNNNNNNNNNNNNNNNNNNNNNNNNNNNNNNNNNNNNNNNNNNNNNNNNNNNNNNNNNNNNNNNNNNNNNNNNNNNNNNNNNNNNNNNNNNNNNNNNNNNNNNNNNNNNNNNNNNNNNNNNNNNNNNNNNNNNNNNNNNNNNNNNNNNNNNNNNNNNNNNNNNNNNNNNNNNNNNNNNNNNNNNNNNNNNNNNNNNNNNNNNNNNNNNNNNNNNNNNNNNNNNNNNNNNNNNNNNNNNNNNNNNNNNNNNNNNNNNNNNNNNNNNNNNNNNNNNNNNNNNNNNNNNNNNNNNNNNNNNNNNNNNNNNNNNNNNNNNNNNNNNNNNNNNNNNNNNNNNNNNNNNNNNNNNNNNNNNNNNNNNNNNNNNNNNNNNNNNNNNNNNNNNNNNNNNNNNNNNNNNNNNNNNNNNNNNNNNNNNCCAUCAAGGACAUGAAUAGAACUCAAAUUUGCAGAUAUGGAAGCAACCGAUGCUGUAAAUUAAAUAAAGAACGAAACUUAGAAACUCACAUUAUGAGAAAAUAAAUCAAUAAAUAAAUAAAUACAUAUGUUCAAAUCAUGGAAUUUAACCCAUCUCAAGAUACCCAGUGCACCAUUGAUGUCAAGUCUUUGGACAGUAACACCAACUGCUAGUGGUACUCUUGUUGCAACGAUCAAAUAUUGACAAUAAGACAUGUCAAACUAUAAACCUUCCUUUGGGCCGAUUUACUGCUCACAUGUAUACCAAAUAAUUAUCACACAUUUAUCAUCGCAGGUGUACAUGUAAUUCUGCCAAAUGUUAACCUUCCUUUGGGCCGGUCAAUACCCGCAUGAAUAAGCAUAUACACAACCAUUUGAUACUCUUCACGAGCAAUUUAGACAAGAGAGGUCACUUUGGCGACGUCAAGUUUCAAUUAACUCAUUCAAAAGUGUCAAACUUGACUUGAACAUAUAUUUAUUAUAUCCAAAUAAAAUAAUAUAAAAAAAUAUAUUUAUAUCCAAAUAAAAUAAUAUUAAAAAUAAAAAAAAUUUAUAUUGGAAAAAAAUGAACAAAAUAUGAUAUAAUUUCAUUUAAAAAUUUCUAGUGUUGGUUCUUGGAGUUGUUCCAAAAUAGAUGAGAAUAAGUUCCAAUAACCAAGAUUCCAACCAUAUAAGUUUAUAAUUAGCCACCAAUAACUCAACAAAUUGAUAAAUAAAAAUUCUGGAGAAAACCCCAUGAAUCGGACAGAGAUGAAAUUUGCGGUAUUUUUAAUUGCUUUCCUUUUUACGAUAAAUAGAACAUAAAUCGGAGGACAGUAUUCUAAUGUUAAACUUCAAAAAAGAAUUGUUCUUGCCUUUGGCUGCCUGAAUGAACCGUAAGUACAACAAAAUAAUUGUGCCAGAGAAGAGGGGAAAAGUCCAGUCCAAAAAUUGAAAAACAGGGUAAACAGGAAGGAAAAAGGUUGAUGGUAACAUGCUGUUUAAAAAAUAAGAUUAAUCGUAUUUGUUCAUUUUAAUCGGAUGAUUGGAAUCUAGGCCUUAUUCUUGAGGCUAUAGUGCAGGAAAAUAAUAUAUAUAUCCAAAAUUCCCAAAAUACAAACCCUAAGAUUUCAAUCAUGUCAAAAUUCCCAAAUCGAAUCUUAAAACAAAGACGAUAACCGAAUUUCAUCAUGAAUUAAACAUGGUAGGCUCUGAUACCACUUGUUAAUAAUCCAUGUCAAUUACAUGAUGAAUAACCAAAGGCGGAAGCGUACCUGUGGGAAUUGCCAUUAAUGAAAUCCUAGGAUGAUGAUGAUAGAGUCAAUGGGUUGAGUGAUCUUCCUCGGCAAAACACCCUGAAGACCUUGCUCUCUUGAUGGGGAUAGAGAGAACCAGAGAGUUUUCUCCUUUAGGGUUUUGAAACUGAAUAGUCUUGUUGUGUUUGCCUUGGGGACCAUUACCCCUAUAUAUAACUAUUAUUAGUUAUAUCCCAAAUUGCAGUAUUUCCAAUUCAGCCCCUCAUUAAAUUAGAAUCUGCCUGGUAUCUACACUAUUAAUUUUCAUAACUAUUAUGCUCUUUAGCCAUAAACUAUUAUAUAUUAUUUGACCCCUAGUUUAUUGGCUAAUUACAUAAUGACCCUAACACACUUUAUUAAUUAAUUACAUAUGUGACCCAUAAAUCUUACAAUGUGUUGCAUUCAUAUAGUAUGUCAUGCUUUUGGAGAUUGUGUCAUGACAAAGUUUGAGCUCAACGACCGAGAAGACUUUGAGGAAAUUAUUGUAGUUCCUUGAGUUUUUAUUAAUUAUUUUUAAUUUUUAAGAGUAAGUUGUGCUUAUUGUUAGAUGUCUCGAUACUUAGAUAUCCUAUAGUUAUGAACAAUAAAUAAUUGUUUAAAAUCAUUUAAUUAAUAAUUAAUAUUAAUGGAUUAAGAAAUAGAUUAGUCGAUUUAGAUAAGUUGUGAAAUCGAUUAACACCUAAGCAUUACCGUGAUCAUGUUUUUACUCAAUCGAUUCAGUUUUGAUAAUAAUCGAUUAGUUAUUGGUUAUAAUUCAAAAAUAACAAUUUUCUUAGUCACUAGUAGUCGAUUUCACUUCUUAUCUUUUAUUAAUCAUUUGAUCACUUGACUUAGUUAUAUAAAUGUUUUAACAUCAAAUAUUUGUAGGUUUUUAUAUUGGUAACUUCGAGUGUCUCUUAAAUACUUAAACACUCAUAACUUUGUAAAAUAUAAAUUGAUUCUAUUAGGCAUGUCUCAUAAACCUUUGAUCUACACCUACAAUUAAUUUGUUAGAGUUGUUGUAGGGAAUAAUAAAAUAAGCUAUCAGGCAUAUGUGCUUUUAUAUAAUAAUUAAUUCGUGUUACUGAUCAAAGUGAUUAGUAUGUAGAAAAGAUAUAACUGAUUAGUUUAAGUUAAGAUAAAAUAAUCGAUUAGUUUGACUUUGAUAAUCACUUAGGAAGAUGUCUAAAAUUGAAUAAUGUCUAAGUUAAUUAAUCACCAAUUAGUGAAACCUAUUUUAUUGAUUAGAAUAGUAAUUAUGACCUAGAAUAUAUAAUUAGUUAAGAAUAAUAGACUAGUAGGAUUUGGUUAAUCAAUUAUGUAAUGAAUUAUAAGUAGAAAAAGGUUAUGUUAAGAAUUAAUCGAUUAUAGACUUACAAUUAAACGAUUAGAUAGGAAAUCAGAAUGAGAAAAUGACUAAAUUAUGAAUCAAUCAAUUAGAGUCUUAGAAUUACAUGAUUAGAUUAAGAAUUAGGACUAAGUUAAUGUUUAAGAAUGAUUGAUAUUGUUUGAUAUGUUGAUAAUAAAUGUUAAUUUGUCUAGCACUCAUAGUUGCAAAUAUGGGGUGAGUGGUAUUAGACAGUGAUUGUUGAUGAUGAAUAAUAUGUUUUUCAUGUUAUAUGUUGCAUUCAUAUAGUAAAGUAGUUUGGGGGUUGUGACAUGAUGGAAUAAGAGUUUGAAGCUUGAGGAAACCUUGAAGAAGUUAUCAAUAGAAAUGAAUUAUGCAAACACGAGGCACUGUAGGGGAACUAUGUUAAAUAUUGAAUCACCCUAACUAGAAACUUUUGUUUGUGCUAUAGUAGGUGACUUCUCUACCUAUAUCAAUCCAAAGUUAGAAGGAUUAGUGUUAAGUAGUUGGUCGUAAUCAUUAUUGUCGUGUUAUCAUGCAUUAAUGAUAUUGAUUAUUGUAUAUGCUAAAAUGUUGAUUAUGCAUUUAAUAUACUUUACUAUGCUUGAUUAUACCUUGAGAAUGACAACUUUGCUUCUUCUUCUUUUUUUGUUCCUUGUGGCUACUUACACACUACAUAUGUAGCUUGAUGAUGAUAUGGAAGCACGAAACAAUUGCUAACAAAUCAGAGAUAUAAUUGGCAUGUUGCCAAUGCAAUAGAUAUUAGUCUAUUUUCUAUUGAUUGUCGACAUAUUGAUCCACCAAUAAAUUGGGAUUGAAUAAAAUCAACUCUAAUUAGUGUGAUAAUUUUUGGAGUUGAGCUAUUUUGAUUUUGUCAUUUUCUUAUAUUUUUUAGUUGUAAUCUUUAUAUGCUUGAAUAUAUUUUAAUUAUGGAUUAAAUUUUCUCGUAAUUUGGGUGUGUGUGGGUAGUUAGCUCAACUGAUUUAAGCUAAGAGUUAAAUAAUUAAAGGAUCCGUGUUCAUAUUUAGGGUAGGAAAAAAUUAUGAUAGAAAAAAAAUACUAACAUAAUAACUAAUUAUUAACUUUGACCGGUUUAAAAAAAAAAAUACUCACACUUUAAUUAUAAUUACAACUUAAAAUAUUUUUAUGAAUGUCUUCCGUAAAGACAUAACACCAUUGGGAUGUUCCGUUGAAUACUGAAUCACCAUAACAAGACAUUCUUGUUUGUGGACUAGUAGGUGAAUUAUCAAACUCUAUCAACUUGUAGUUAGAAUAAUCUAGUAAGGAUUAGUUGACAAUUAAUUAUAAUUUUUUUUCAUGUUAUCUUGCAUUUUUUAUAUUGUUAAUGUUAUGUGUUAUGUUGUUGAUUAAUUAUUUAAUUUAAUUUUCUUUACACUGUUUGAUUAUAUCUUUAAGAACGAAGACUCAUCCUCAUUUAUUUUUAUUGUUGCUUCUUACACACUAUGUGUGUGGGUAGAUGAUUUAAUGAUAACAAAUGAAGCAAUCGCUAAUGAUGAAGAAACAAAAUGAUUGACAUGCCGCCAAUGCAUUUGUUGUAGUGAGUUAUGUUUGAUCGUCGAAACGCUGGUGUAUAUUAGUUCGAUUAGAGUGAAAUAGGAUCGACCCAACACAUUUGAAGGCCUAAAGUAAAUUUUAAUAUGAGACAUCAAAUGAAUUUUUUAAAUUUUAAUACGACAUCACUAAAUUAAUAUAAUUGAUGUUAUGUAAUAUUUUUUUUAAUUAAUUUAAUUUUGUUGAGACAAUAUUAAAUUUUUAAAAAUAUAUAUAUUUUAAUUUUAAAAAUAUUAAAAUAUGAGACUUUUUAUUAAGUACAUUUUUUUUGAGAUCUUUUAAUAAAGUAAAUUUUUUAUUUUUUAUGAAAAUUUAAAGUUUAUUGAUCUUACCCUAUGAUCGACCCUGAAGUGAAAAUUUGUGAUUAAAAAGCAUGUACCUAAUAUGUGACUCAAAUGUUACUUAUAUAAAAAUAUGUAGAUGAUCCAAUUAGGUGACUUACAAGUAAUUAUUGAGUAAUGUUCCUGAUGACAAUAUCCAUUGAACUUAGCAUUGAUUCUCUUUUGUCCAUUGGGUUUAUGUCUUCUUCUCUCGAUUUUGAGUUUAUGUAUUCUUUAGGGAUGACAAUGGGUAGAGUAUUAUAAUAUUCAUCCUCAUACAUGCGAUUUAAAAAAAUAUUCAAACUUGUGUUUGUAUCUACUUGAAUACCAAUUAUCAAUUUUAAUACUUGUAACUUUACCUUUUGGGUACUUAAGUGUCUGUACUUAUACCUAUUAUCCACGUUUUAACUAAAAUAGAUCAAUAAAUAAAUGAUAUUGUUGUGAUUAAAUUUAAAAAUUAUCCAAAUAUUGUAAAUUCAAUCAUAAAGUAUUAUAAACCAACAUCUAACUCAAAACAUUUCAAAUGAACACACGUUAUAAUGUAUAUUCAAAUAUCUAUAAUAAUACUUUAUGAAGUUGCAAGCCAUACGGCGGAAUUAUUCGAGAUUUGUAAAAAAAAUUGAUAAAAAGUUACAAGUAUAAUUAUAAAGUCAUCUUAAUAAGACAUAACUCUUAGUUAUAAAGUCACAAUUAUUUACCUAUUUAUCAAAAUCAAAUUCUUAAAAAAUUUGCAAACGUUUAUCUUUUGAUUAUAAAUAUUAUAGUGGUUCAAUGAAAUUAAUAUAUGUUAAAACAUAAAAAAAAACAAUCAAUCAAACUAAAUAUUAAUAUAAUAUAAUAAAUAAAUAAAUAAAUAAUUUUACGGAUAAUUAUCUAUUCUAGUAUUCAUUUUUACUAUGCGGUUUUUUAUUCUAAUUAUUAUAGAUUUUGUGGAUUUAUGUCUUCUUCCUUCGGGUUUUGGCUCAACAAGUAGCUGGAUCUUUGCUGACUCUGAGUUGGACACGGGCCAAUAUUAGGAACAAUAAUUGAACACAAUAGAAAAAUGCACAAAUAAACAUUUUCACGAGUAAUAAUAAUUAGAGUUUAUUAGAAAUGUAUGAUUGAUGUAAAAUAAUUUUAAAUAAUUAUUUUAGUAUAAUUUCAUGAUUUUGCCACAUAGCUCCACUUCAUAAUCGCAAAAUAUUGUUAAAUAUUAAUAUAAAAGUAAUUUACAAUAAUAAUAUAUCUUUUCUUUUCUCAAAUAAUUAACAUAACAAUAACUAUUGUUAAUAAAGUAAUAAUAUUAACCAUUAUCUUUGGCAAACCCUCUCUCAGAUCCAAUUACAAUAAAAGGAACAAAACGGCAAGAAGAAUCUAUCCAUAGGAAUAAUAACAUGAAGAAUCGUACAGAAUUCCACAACAUAUGUUACACAUUUAUUUAGUUUGACGGAAUAAUUUAUUAAUUCAUCAUUUUAUUAAUUUUGUACGCUAUUGACAGUGUGUCAUCAACUUCUCCUCUGUUCAAAGUCGACUUUUCUUGAGUGGUCCCAUUUUCUUAGCCAUAUCUCUAAGGACAAAUUUCUGUAUCUUCCCAGUAGACGUCUUCGGAAGUUCAUCUAUCAAAACCACCGUUUUCGGAACCAUAUAAUGCGGCAAAUUCUUCCUACAAUACUCAACUAUCUCUUUCUCCUUCGGUAUUUCCUUUUCCUUCAAUCCGUUUUUCAAACUCACAAACGCACACGGCGUUUCUCCCCAAAACUCAUCGGCUCUCGCCACCACCGCUGCCUCAUUCACAGCCGGAUGUCCGUACAACACCGAUUCAACCUCCACACUACUCAGAUUCUCUCCGCCACUAAUUAUCACAUCUUUAGAUCUAUCUUUAAUCUCUAAAUAACCGUCUUCAUGCAUCACACCAACGUCGCCGGUGUAAAACCAACCGUUCCUUAAACAACUCGCUGUUCCUUCAGGAUCCUUCAAAUACCCUAACAUAACGCAACCGCCUCUCAUAACAACUUCGCCGAGCGUUGCUCCGUCGCGUUUUACGCUAUCUCCGUUGGGAUCCACCACGUCAACAUUAGUCAUUCCGAUUGUUCUCACUCCCUGGCGUGACUUCAAUCGCGCUCUCUCCGUCGCCGGGAGACGGUUCCAUUUGUUUUUCCACGAGCAGGAAACCACUAACCCGCCGGUUUCCGUUAAACCGUAGCCGUGACUCACCUCAAAACCUAACGACUCCGUACGGUAAAGAACGGCGGCGGGUGGCGGUGCUCCGGCGGUUAGGAUGUGAACUUUAUGUUGUAACGGUUUGUUAUCAGGUGAGUUUGUUAGCAUGUUGAGAACAACCGGAGCACCGCACAUGUGUGUCACGUGAUGCUUUUUUAUGAGAGUGAAAACGGUUUCAGCGUCGAAUUUUCUUACGCAGAUGUUAGUUCCUCCUACGGCUGCGAUUCCCCACGGGAAGCUCCACCCGUUAGCGUGGAAUAUAGGAAGCGUCCAGAGAAGAAUCGGUUGUUUAGGAACCGCCCAAUCGAUUAAAGAAUCAACGGUUACUAUGAAAGUUCCUCUGUGGGAAUGAACUACACCUUUUGGAGACGACGUCGUUCCCGAAGUAUAAUUAAGUAACAUUGGGUCCCAUUCAGUUUUUGGUGGAACCCACUUAAAUAAUGGAUCACCCUUCACCGUUAGAUCUUCAUAAGUUGAGAUGAAAUUGGAAUCAACGGUGGAUGAUGUUACUUCUUCGAAUGUUUCAUCUUUGAUAAGGAUAAGGAGAGGGCGUUGUAAAUUUGAAGGGAAUAAUAACAAGGCUUCGAGGACGAGAUCACGUGCGGCGCAGUCCACGAAAACUAGUUUAGACUCGGAGUGACGGAGUAUGGUUGAGAUGGUACGCGCGUCGAGGCGCGUGUUGAUGUUGUUGAGAAUUGCGCCGGUGAAAGGGACGGCGAAUUGGAGUUCGUACAUGGCGGGGAUGUUGGGAGCGAUGGCGGAGACGACGUUUCCGCGGCGGAUUCCGAGGGAGGUGAUUGAGGAGGCAAGUUGGAGACAUCGGUUGUGGGUUUGAGACCAGGUGAAAACGGUGUCGUUGUAGAUGAUGGAAGGGGUAUCACUGUAAAUUGUAGCUGCUCUUUCUAAGAAGCCGAGUGGUGUUAGAGGGGAAUUGUUAGCUGCACUUGGUUUGAGUUGUUCCAUUGGCAAAAAUUGAUAGGAUUGGAUGGUGAAUGAAAUGUACCAACCAAGGUGUUUCAAAAAAAUAGUCUAUACUAAGUUGGAGAUAAGAUUUAAUACAUUUAUAAUAAAAAAUAUCAAGUGGAUAUCUUCGUAAAUAAAUAAAAUAACGUGAGAUAGAUGUGAUAUGCUCCUACGUUAAUUGAUAUCUGUUUCUAAUUUAAUGAAGAGAAAAAUAUGGGGUUAAGAAAUUAGAAAUGUUUAUAUAUUAUUGUUGAUUUAUAAUAUAAAAAAUAGAGAUAUUUUAUACGAUGAUAUGUUGAAGUCUGUUGUUGUCUUCAAAACGUAAUCCCACUUGUACAAAGGUAAUGUUGUUAAAGAUGGGAGAGAUGCACCAAAUUAAAUGGAGGACUUAUAUGGCAAGUGUUGUUUAAAAAAGGAAAAAUCCACUUUAUUUAUAAUAAAAAGAACAGCGAACUAUUCUUUCAUAUGCAUCUCCUCUACUAAGAAAGAGGAACAAGAAAAGAAAGUGAGAAAAAAAAAAAAAAAAAAAAACAGGAUGCAAUGUGAUAAAUAAACUGAAUUUUUAUUGACAAAUGAUAAAUUACUUGGGUUACUAACCCGUGCUAAGAGUUAGUUUGCACUCAUAAACAUAUAUAUUAUAAGAAAUUUUAUUUAUGAUAUUAUUAUUUUAAUAAUAAUUAUAUUUUGUUAAUAAAUAUAAAAAAAGUAUUUAUUAAUUUUUAGCAAUGAACAAUACAGAUUGAGUCACAUAAUGAAUAAAUAUUAGAUUUAAAAAUACAUUAUUUACUUUGAAUUGUGAAUGAUUUAAUCUAUUUACUUUGACUUUAAUAUUGAUAUUUUAUCAUAAUUUGACUACUUAAAUUUUUUUUUAAAUCAACAUCGUAUAUAAAAUUUAAUUAUGAGUUAAGGACUAAUGUUCUUACAACUACAACUGAAUUUUAUAUACGAUGCUGAUUUAAAAAAAAUUUAAGUAGUCAAAUUAUGAUAAAAUAUCAAUAUUAAAGUCAAAGUAAAUAGAUUAAAUUAUUCACAAUUCAAAGUAAAUAAUGUAUUUUUAAAUCUAAUAUUUAUUCAUUAUGUGACUCAAUGUGAGUAAAGAAUUUAGUCCUUAACUCAUAAUUUUUUUACUUUUCCAUAUUUAAAGUAUGUGAGUUUAGAUAUUAGAAUAUUUAAAAGAAAAAAAAACUCUUGUAACGUAUAUAAAUUUAAGAUUUAAAAUUUUAAAUCUCAUGCUCCAAAAAUACAACAUUAAAUCUCUUCUCUCAAUUUUUUCUCUUUCUGAAACUUUUCAUAUGUUAUACCUGUGUAUAGUUUAUAUUAAAAUUUUAUCAUGUUAUUCCUAUUAAAUAAUUUAAAAUAGAAUACUGUGUAAUUCAUAUUAAAAUUUUCAUUCAUAAUAAUUAAGAAAAUAAUUUUUAUUUAUGUUUAAAUGUUUAAUUUUCUUACAAGAAGCCAAUGUCAUGGUAGGUGAUGGAAGGGGUAUCAACGUAAAUUGUAGCUGCGCUUUCUAAGAAAGUCGAGUGGUGUGACCGUGUGAGAGGGAAAUUUUUAAGUGCGCUUGGUUGUCGUUACCUUCACUUUAGUAUUAAACUGACAGAUUUGGAUAGUGAAAAAAAAAAAAAAAAAAAGGUGUUCCAAUAAUAAAAAAGAGUAUCAAUAAACAGUUGGACAAGUUUAUUAUUAUAGAUUAAAAAAAAAAGUAACUCUAACUUUAUAUUUUUACAAAUUAUUUUAAUGGAAAUUAUUUAAAAAUAAAAAAUGUUAUUUUGAAUAAAUUUAUUAAAAAAUAAAAAAAUUAAUUUUAAUAUUUAAUAAUUUAGAUAAUUAUUUUUAGAAUUUUAAUAUAAUAAAAAUAUAUAUCGAAAAUGGUUUGUUUAAGAAGCUACUUAAAAUAACUUAUCAUUUUAAGCCUUUUUAAAAAUUGUAUUAUCUAACAAAAAAUUGUAGCAAAAUGAUUAAAUACUUAACCUGAAUUUCUUUUUAAAAGCUAUUCAAAUCCAAAAUCAGUUUUUAAAAAUGAUUUUCAGCUAUUGAAGAUAUUUAGGUUGAGUUAUAGACUAAAUCGUUUUCUUUAAGAUGUUUAACAACACUGACUAAAAUUAUGCAACUAGAGUAUCAAUCACUUCAUCCCCAUGGUAAAAACAACUCAGUUACAAAAAUGUAUCGGUGUCUACUACACAAUAGAAAAUUGUUCAAAAAUUACAUCAUAAAUAUGACUAUAAUGGCCACCAGCUAAGUGAACAGACUAUUGUUGAGACAAACUCCAUAUUUAAAGUUUUGAUGAAAAUAAACAAAUGUUAAUUAAGAAAGUUAAUUAUGAUUUUAAAAUGUUAUGUUAAUUUAAUUUGCGCUUUUAUGCUUUUGAGUGAAUUUAUUUAAAGAACAGAAUCAAGCAAAGCAGAAAAGACAACAAUAAGAACAUUCUGCACAAAAACAGAGAAUGAUCUCCAGUUUCAAGAGUGUUCAUCACAACAUAUUGACCAAUCAUUCUCCACCUCUUUAACAAAAAUUCUGCCUCGAAAUUUCAUUCAAAUAGAAUCAGUACAUGGCAAGGAACAAGUAUGAUUCAUCACAGAUCAGAAAAGGCUAUUUGAUCACUAAAAUAAAAGGACUCAAAAAACAGUCAAAAAUAAGAAUAAUUUGUAACUCUAAAAUCAAACUGUCAAGAAAGUUUGAUCAACCUUGAUAUAUGAUAAGACAUUACAAAGGACAUCCAAAAUGAUCAAAACAGGAACUCCAGAUUGAUCAUCAAAUCUCCAGAAAGAUCAAAUUGACAGAUCCAGAUUGAUAAUCAAUCUCCUUUUUCUGCAUAACUCCAGCAGCAGUGUCUUCUCUUCUGCAAUGGCUUAUAAUUCUUCUCCAAACUCAAUUGGCUACAUUCAAGACUCAAGAUCGAAACUGUGCCAUUCAAGAUCAAGGAAGAAACUUCAAAGGCUUUUUAACUAGAAGACAAAAAUGAUUUAAAGCUUUAACAGAAAAGUCAAAAAGCAGUUUUUAAAUCAAUGGCUGGAUUAUUUUUAUUCUGAAAUAUUGGUUUCAGUCAAAAAUACAGAGCACUACCAACAGCUCUUUUUGACCCUCAUUAAAUGCUUUUAAAGCCUAUAAAUAGAAGGCCAAUAUCUAGGAGCAAAGCAAGAAAUUCAAGUGUUGUAAAAUCUCAAACAUCAAUCACAUACACAUACUUGAAGUUCUCAAAAUUCGCAAAGAAGAAGCAGUUCUAAAAAUCUCAUAUCAUAUUGCUUGAUCAUUACUGAUUUCUUUGUAAAGAAUCAAAUCUCAAACAAGUGUUGAGAUAUCUUAGAUUAUGUUAAAAUCAAUCUUAUUGUAAAAACUCAAACUAUAAGAGUUUCUUUAUAGUUUGUUUAGAUUGCAUUGAAUCCUAUCAAAGUUAGAUAGGUGUUGUUGUUGCUUUCUGGGUGGAAAGUAAUAGAGAUUAAAAUAGAUCAAGGUUGAUCUAGACUAGGUGCUGUAAAAUCAAAAAGGUUCUUUGUUUUAAACACUUAGUGGAAAAUCUCACAGUGUGAGGACUGGACGUAACCCAAGUUGGGUGAACCAGGAUAUUUCUUUGUGUGGUAUUCUCUAUCAUAUCUCUUUAUUUGUUAAACUUAAUUAACUAAGAUAAAACACAAACUAAUUUUCUAUUUUAAGCUAAUCAAGGAACGUUCUCUGUUUCUCUAUUUUUCUAACCAAUAUCAAUCUUGAGUUAUUUUCUUAAGUUUUUAACAGGAAUUUUUAAAAGUUACAUUUACAAUUCAAACCCCAUUCCUUGUAAAUCGACAUUGUUACUUCAACUACAACACGAAAACCUUUCUAAAAUCGAAGGAAUAAUGAUAUUAGAACCACUCUAAGACCGAAGGGUUAUAUGUAUUAGGAUCAGACUAAAAAUAUUGAAGGGAUGAAGAAUAGGGAGAAGUAACUUAGAAGUGCGUCGAACAGAAGAGGGAGAAGAAAAAAAGUUGAGAAUUGUAUUCAACUUUGAUGUCUUUUUCGCAAGAGUUUGACAUUCUUUAUAUAGUGAUGAAAGUUAUCUCAUAUGAAUACACUAUCGAAUGUAGGACUUUAGUGUUUAUAGAGUUGAAAACUAACCAAUGUGUGACUUUAAUAAUUUUUAAAUUAACACACACUAACAUACUCUCUAUACUCCAACAAUCUCUCACUUGAAUUUAAAAAAUUGUUUCUGAAGUAGCAUCAAACACUUCUAUAAGAUUGUGCAUAAAUAGAGAUAUUUUCUUACUUGAACCUUUGCAUAGUGAGUAAAACUUAAAUUCAAAGAAUGACUUGAAGUCUUGAAUUCUGUCUCUGAUAUCAAAUCCACAUAAAAUCUUUUCAUAUAGUGUAUUCUCAAAAGUUUGUGCAUCAAUGACACUGCACUUAUAUCCUAGUAUAGUGAACACUCUAACAACUAUGCCUCAUAAUUCCAUAAGAAGCGACCCGAUUUCCAUAUUCACAUAAAUGAGUAUAUCAAUAGUACUCUUGUAGCAAGGUACUCCACACCAUAUAAUGUAUAGAUCUCAUUAAGAGAUUCUAUUAUAUCAUCAUUUUAUUGCUUCAUGAAUCAUGCUUCAAUUUGUAAUAGCAUGCUCAUCUCAUAUUACUUCACAACUUGUUAUUACUCAUUGAACUUAAUUCUUGGGAUCUUAGGUCUUUUAGAUCUGAUUAUCAUCAUAAGUGACUUAUUCAUCUAAAGGUAAUAGUCUCAUCCUUUUGUAUAUGUUUAUGAAUCUCUCUCUAGUUAAUUCUUUUGUCAAAGGAUCAACUAAGUUUUUAUUGAUGCAUAAAAUCACUCAGUUGAAACUAGAGAGGAUAAACUCGCACAAUAAAAAAAUUUAAAAAGUAUAAAAGUGCAUUUAAACCUUAAAUUAUAUACCAAUAUUUUACUUAUAAAGGAACCACAUAUUUAGAUCACAUUUCAAAUAUGAAUAGUUAAAAACACCACAAUAAGAUGGAAAUAAAAUAAGAUAAUGGCAAAAAUCAAUUCACCAACAAAAUAACUAAAUAAGACAAGAAAAAUCCAAAAGAAAAAAUUAUUCGAAAAAAUAAAGACUAACCAAUAAGUAAGACAAUGAAUAUUGUACUACAUUGUUAGGGCUAUAAAUGAAUUGAGUUGAAUCGAAUUUAUGUUCAAUUGUACUCGAUUAAAAUUGGUUCAAUUCAAAAUUCAACUCGAGGUUUUCACGAACUUAUAUUUUAGUUCGAAUUUGACUCGAUUCAAGUUUACAAGCAACUUGGUUUGGUUCUAUAACUCAAAUCAAAUGAAUCAAAAGACAAAAACUUAAAAGAAAUAAUUGUGUUCUUUCAACUUUAAAUUAAAAUAUUAAUAUUAAUAAAAAUUAACUAAAUCCCAUAUAAUUUAAAUUUAAACUAGGGCUAAAAAUUAAUUUUUUUAAAUUAGUUUUCUCAAUACUUUUGAUUAUCUCAUGCAUUGGUGGUGCGCUUCUUAUAUAGGAGAAAAUGAGAGUGUAAGGGAUUAUAUUUCAUUGUUUGGAGUAGUUAAGUAAUUAUAGCUAGGGGACAUAGUUCAUUCCUCAACAUAAUCAUUUGAAGAAAAAUGAAUCACAAUUAAGAGCAAUUAGUUGUUUCUUCAACUAAUUCUUAAUCCCAACAAAAAAUUUGGCACGCCCAAUGGAAUAUUACAGUAGAGACCAUUGAAAAGUUCACUUCGUUAUAUCACAAUUACGUUUGGCAAAUGCACUUGAGUUAUGGUAAAUUUUUAACACUGUGGGACAACCAUCAUCAGCAUAAAAAAAGUCAAGCCAACAUAGGUCUAAUGACCCUCCCCAAAUGUUGGGAGUGUCUAAUAUGUGGUAUUUCCUAAUGCUUAUGGGGACAGGACAAUUGAUCUACUUGAGCAACCAUUGGUGAUGACCACAUAUUUCAUUAGACAACAAAUUGAAAGAAGGAUACAUGACAUCGUGUAUAAAGUCUCCCAACAACUUGCUGACAUUGUUAAACCUAUGGUUCAUAAUGAUGUUCAACAAGUUAGGAAGUUGGAGACAAAGCGAGCCAAUUCAUGUGAUAAUUUUGUCACUUUUGUAAUCCAAGGAGUACAAGGAAACCAAGGCCAAACAAACAUUGUAAUUCAAAAUCAAUCAAUCAAUCAUGACAACAACAUGACCUUCCUGGUGCAGUCGAAUCCUAUACAACAGAUACCUUUUAUUCCUAGCCUAGUACUUUUGUUACGACAAACCCUAUGGGGCACCCAUUGGUGAAUGAUACAUAUAAUCGGGCUAACCUUCAACAGCUGAACAAUAUGUCAAACACGAGAAGACAUGUUUUCGACCUAAUAAUUGGAAUUCAUAGGCUAAUUCUCACCAACCACAUGGUUAUUACCUGCAUGGAUCGACUAAUCCCUCAACACACCUGCCACGACCUGAUGUACCUUUACCAACUCUGGUGGGUUUAAUUUUACCAAGACUAAAUGUGGGUUAUGUUGGCAAACAAACAUGGAUCACAAAUCCACUUUACUAACAUAAAAUACACCAUUGGUUCUAGGGACUCGUUUGAGGAUCAUUGUUGAAAUAAACAAGAUUAGUAGUGGGGAAUCCUCCCCUUCAAGCCUAAUUCCAACAAGGUUUCUAGAACCCAUCAAACAACAUGUGACGCUGACCAAUUGUUCAACAACCUGACCCUUACCAUUAUCGGGACUAUUAAUUACGACUUUCUCAUUCCCUUUUUCCUCUCAAUAGGAAAUAGUGAGUUUUUGUCUUCCGUGGAAAUCGAACCUAGUACUUGAGGGAUAAGUACCGCUAUCCAUUCAUUCCCACUAUCAAUUGAGCCACUCGCUAUUUCCUAUUUAGAGGAAAGGGUAGGGGUGAGAAUAGGUCAUGCCAGACUAGGCUUUGAAAGGCCUGAGCCUAGCCUACGAUUUAUUUUUUAGGCCUAAGACUGGCCUACAGCCUAUCAUAGGCUUUUUUUUCGGCCUAACCUAGCCUUUUAAAAAGUCUAGCAUGGCUUGGAAGCCUACUUAAAAUAAUUUUUUAAAAAUAUGAAACAAACAUCCUUUAAACCCUAAAAAAUAAUUUUGUGUGUCAAAUAAUAGUUCUUUUUUUUUUUUUUUUUUUUUUUUUUCUGAAACAAACGCGCUCGUUAUUACCUCUUAAACAAAUAUGGAAUGACUAUUGAGUGAUUGACUAAUUGAACGGCUACCGAAUAUGGAAUGACUACCAAAUAUGGAAUUGCUACCGAAUAUCAAACAACUACUGAAUAUGGAAUGCUCAUUGAGUGAUUGCCUAAUUGAUAGAAUUUAAAAUAGGAAAUAAUAUUAUUAAUAUAAUAAUAAUAAUAAAUAAUAAAUAAUAAAUAAUAUUAAUAAAGAAUAGGCCUAAUAGACUUUUUUAUAAGUCUGAGUCUGACCUAUUUAAAUAAAUAGGCUUCAAAAACAGCCUAAGCCUAGCCUUUUUAUUAAAUAGGCCAGACCAGGCCGUAGGCCCCUGACGGACGGUCUAGCCUAUUCCCAUCCCUAGAAAAGGGGGAGCGAGAGUGUCGUGAUUAACAGUUCUGAUAACGAUAAAGGUCGAGCUGUUACAAAAAAGACACAUUUUAAUCGCCCUCAUUUCUAUCCAUUGGAAAUAACGAGUUUUAAGCUUCUGUGAAAUCGAACCCGGUACCUAUGAGAUAAGUACUCCUGUCCAUUCAUUCCCACAAUCAAUUUAGCUAUAACAACCGACCCUUACUAUUAUCGACACUGUUAAUCACGACUUUCUCGCCCUUUUUCCACCAAUUGGAAAUAACUAGUUUUUGUCUUUCGUGGGAAUCGAACCCGGUACCUGGGAGAUAAGUACCUCCGUCUAUUCAUUCCCACUACCAAUUGAGGAUCUCAUUGGCAAAAGCAUGGAGUUAUACAUUGAUGAUGUGGUGGUCAAGUCUCAAAACUUUAAGUUCCAUUUGGUGGAGUUGGAGCAGGCCUUGAAAAGAAUGAAGCUUAAUGGUCUGAAGAUGAAUCCAUCAAAAUGUGCAUUUAGAGUAUCAACUAGGAACUUUCUUGGUUUUUUAGUAUACAAUAAAGGGAUUGAAGUGGAUAAGAACAAAACUAGGGCCAUACUAGAAGCUAGGUAUCCCACUACAAAGAAGAAGUUGUAGAGUCUUUUAGGGAAGAUCAAUUUCUUGAGAAGAUUUAUAUCAAAUUCAGUUGGCAAAAUGAAAACCUUUUCACAUUUGCUUCGGUUGAAAGACUUAGAGGAAUUAAUAUAGGGAUAUGCUCAACAAAUGACUUUUGAUCAAAUUAAGGAGGCUUUAGGUAACCCACUAGUACUAAUGCCUUAAAUGCAUAGUAAUUCACUCAAGUUAUGUAUUGUUAUUGAAGACGAGACAAUUGGUUGCUUACUUGCCCAAGUUGUCGAUAUUGGUACAUAAAGAACAAUAUAUUAUAUUAGUCGAAUCUUAAAUGAUGUAGAAACAAGAUAUACACUUAUUGAAAAAUUAUAUUUAUCAUUGUUCUAUGUUUGUACUAAACUUGAAUAUUAUUCGUUAUCAACAGAAAUUUUAGUCAUGUGCAAGAUUGACAAAAUUAGAUAUUUACUCAAUAGAUCCAUUUUGCAAGGUUGACUAAUGAAGUGAGCCAUCAAAUUUAAUGCAUUUGCAUUAAAAUAUGUGCUCAUACGAGCAGUAAAUGGUCAAGAUCUGACAGAUUUUUUAGCACAACAUUAGUGCAUGGAAUCCCAAGAUCCACUAGCCGAGUUGAACCUUGUCGUGAAUGUUAACCCUCGUGCUUUGAUGUCUAACAUAUCUAAAACCUAAAAGGAAACUAGAGCUGACAUCGUUAUUAUUAACCCAGAAGAAAGAGUUUAGAAGUUUAAGGGCAAUAUCCUAAGUUUUCCAAUAAUCAUGUGGAAUAUGAAGCUAUGAUCAUAUGACUUAGGAUAUUGACAAGCAUGGUGAUAAAUUAUAACCACAUACAGGUCAAGGGAGAUUCUUGAAAUAACAAUAUCAAUUAUAAGGAAGGGGGUUUGAAUUAUAAUUGUCUCUUUUUAAAAUUCCUGAUUAAAAAUUGAAAGUUUAACUCAAGAUUGAUCUUGGUUAUAAAUGAAUGUUGAUCUUGGUUAGUGCAAAACAACAAUAUCAAUUUUAUCAAUAUAAAAAUUGAUUUAAAGUAUAUAAUAAAUAGAGAUAGAGAUAGAGAGAUCACACAAGCAUAUAUCUUGGUUCACCCAAACACGGGUUACGUCUAGUCCUCACGAAUGUGAGAUUUUCUACUAAGUGCUCAAGGCAAGAUUGUUCUUGGUUUUCACAUAUCAAUCUUGACUUUUACACGGUUUCUACCUUUCUACUUAGAAAUGAUUUUUUUCAGAUUUACCUUACAAUAUUUCAGAAUGGAUUUUGCAAGAUACCUUUUAUAACAUAAAAGGAUUUUUACACACUACUCAAGCUAAGUUGACAAUGUAGCCUUGAUUUACAAAAUAAUGAUUUUGAGAAGGUUAGAAUCUAAGUAUUGCUCAAAUCUUGUUUGAGAAAUAGAUUAUAUAUUUAAAACUCAGUUGUUAUUGAUCUUAACACAACACAAAGAGUGGAACUGCAAGCUGGAGAAUGAUUAUGAGAAUCUCGAGUAUGUUUGAAAUGAUUGAUACUUUGCUUGGCACUUUGAGUUGUGUUUUGUUAUUCAUCUUAAAGCUGUAUUUAUAGGCUUCAAGAGAGCUUUAGGACAACUUACUUAUCCAUUGAAAUAAGGCCAACUGUCAUGGAUAAGAUCAAACAGAAAGCAAGAGUGUUCAAGCUGAAACCAGGAACAUUCUUGGCAUCCAAGAUCGAUCCCCGAAUUUGGAACUGAGCUGAUUUGUACUUUGUGGUUCUGUCGGUUAUCUGAGAUGAUUUAUGUCUUUACGUUAAGUGUGCAGGUCAUAAUUGAAAGUACAACUUCAGUGUACUUUACAGCCUGUAAAUUUAUACUUGCUUUUGCCUUACUUGAAGAAUGAUAUUGCUUUGUACUUUUCAUGAAGCAUGUGUUUGAUCCUUCGAAUUCUGGAAGAAUGCUAACUUAGAUUGAUCCUUGCUUAUUCUUGAUGAAGGUAUGAGAUGAAUUAAAGCUUUCAGGAUCCAAUCUUUCAUAAAGAAAACUGAUCAUUGUUGUUUAAGACAUAAGUGUAGAACGUUCUUCGUUUUCCAGAAAUAUCUCAAGAACGAUCUUGGUUUUACUAAAGUAUGUUAGGAACGAUCUUCGUUUUACAGAAGUAUGUCAAUAACGAUCUUGGUUUAAUUGUUUUUGCUUUCUUGAUUUUUAAUGAGAUCUGCUUUGAAAGACUUGGUACCUAACUUGUUUUGACACACUCAAACGCACAUGUUAAAUACCAAAACACUUAGAAUUAUAAUUAUAAUUCUUAAUUAACCUUUUGUUUAAUUAUCAUCAAAACAUUAAUUUAAGAAUUUUGUCUUAGCAGUUCCAACUAGUGGAGAAACAAGACAUUGGAGAAUACCAAUCCUUGAACCUAAACCUCAAAAGAAAUUGCGAAACAAGAAAAUUGUUGUGUAUGUUUGCUGAUACAGUUGUCUUACACACGUCCCUCGUGAAGAAAACAAAUAGAUUAAUGAAUUAGCUCAACAUACACCUUUUGGGAAAAUAUUUUUCCGAAAAUAUAAACAUUCUUUUAAUUUAUAAGAUAUACAUUUAACACUAACAUUUUUUUCGAGUACACUCAUUAUUAAUACUACUAAUUUAUCUUUGAAAGAUGAAAAGUCAAAUACAAUUAUACACAAAUAAAAUUUUAGGAAUAACUACACAUAAAAUAGAUACAUUAAAUUAGCUACCUACUUUUCUUAAUAUAUGUGAAAACAAUAAAUGUUUAUAAUUAGGGGCAAUUUUUUUCCUAAAGAUAAUUAUAAUUAGCGACAGAGGUAGUAUGUGAUUUUUUUAUAUAGUCAAUGUUAGUAAUUAGUGGUUAUUUUUUCAUAAGGUGUUGUACUCAUGACUUACUUGUGAUACUAAGGAGGGGUGUACAUGGGUACGAGUCGAUCCGUUCUUGAUCGGAUCAGUUUGAUUCGAGUUAAAUGAAAAAAAUACGGAUUUAAAACUCAACUCAACGCAACCUAAAAAUAAUCGAUCGGUUCGAAUAUCGAAUUUUGUCAAAAUCGAUUUAACCUAACUUGCGUGCACUCUUAAUACUAACUCUCCCAAAAUACCUUACAACUCUCGAGGUAGUAUGUGAUUAAUGUCACAUAUUUUAAAAUAAAUUCAAAAACUAUAGUAAUUGAUUUCUUCCUUUUCAAUGAGAAAUUGAAUGAUCCCUUACCCUACUUGGACAUAGUUAAGCAAUUAAUAUUAAUUAAAAUUAACGAUUUUUUUAAAAGCAAGUUUAUAUUUAAAUAAUUUUCUUAAAGAAGCUAAUAAAUUAUAAAUUAUUUAGACAUAAAAAGCUUAUACUCUUUCAUUUGUGAUAAAUUGAUACAAAAAUAUCAUAUUAAAAUAAUGACUAUUUUAAUUUUUAAUGAAUAUUAAUUAUUUUUUUGAUAAAUUUUUAUCUUAUAAUCUCAAUUCAGUAUUUUUUUUUUAUCAAAAGAGGAAUUUACUAUAUUUUUCCCAUUAAUAAUAAACCAAGUAAUGAAAGUUAAGUGAUUAAUAAAUUUUAAUUGAGACAAAUCGUUCUAAAAACUUUGAAUUUUGACUAGAACAAUUAUUGAUCGAACUUUAUUUAAUUAUCAGUCAAACUCUAAAUUGUUUUGGUCUAUUUCUGUCGAAAAAAAUUAAAUAAAAAAUAAUAAUAACCAUGAAUCCACCAAUAUUUAAUAAUAUAAUUUAAUAAAAGUUUUUUUUUGACCAAAUAUAAUUUUAUUUUUUAGUUAUACAUUUUUUUAAUAAAAAGAACGUAUUUGUACAUUAGUUACGCAAUUAAUUAAUUAAUAAUUAAAAAAAAAAUGAAAACUUAACAGCAUCCUUCGUUCUACCAAAAUCACAUACGGGGGAAUAUAAUCAGAAUAAUUUUCUGAGAUUCUCCUCUUCUUCCCUUGCUUCUACUCAAAGGAAUUAUUUUCCAUUAGCGUUUGGAGGGUAGAAAAGGAAGAGGAAGAGAAAGAUCGAAAGAGAGAAAUGGGAGUGUUUUCCAAUAAGAUCGAACGUCAACAACUCAAGCCCGGUGAUCACAUUUACUCAUGGAGACAAGCUUACAUCUACGCUCAUCACGGUCUAUUUCUUUUUUUAAUUUAUCAUCUUUUUUAUUUUUCUCUUUCUUGUUAUUCGUUGUUUGCUUUUGUUUAAUUUACACAAUAUAAUAGAUUCUGGAUAUUUUAUUUCAUUUUAUUGAAAACGGUUGUUUUUGUUUUUAUAUUAUAACUCAUUCGCAUUUAGGUUUGGAUAAUCAUAAACUUUGUGGUCCAGUAGAUUUUUUUUGUCAGUUAGUUAUUGCUGAUUAUAACUGUUUUGUUAUGAUUUACUUUAUUUUGUUUUUGUAUUGGAAAAUUUGUUGUGGAUGUGUUGGGUUAAGACUUAUUUUGUUUAGGAAGUGAAUUUAGGGUAAAGAAAUUUCAUGUGUUGGGUUAGCUUGCAAUAGUUUGCAGCCAACUUGAAUUUCAGCGUAUUGAAAAUGUAGCGGUGACUCUUCAAAUUGAAAGUGUUUCUGGUGUUUGACACGAUUAGUGUAUGGCAUGGCACUGGUACAUAUGCGUGCAUUCAAUUAAUUUCAUUUUCUUACAUUAUUAUCAGUGUCUACAUGUGAGUGUCACUAUUGUGUCAGAUAUCGUUCUACUAUGUGUUAAGGCUUCUUAGGAAGCAACAUAGUUGUUGUUGAAUCAAGUGAAAUUGGUCAUAAGUUUAACAGUUAGAGAUGUAUAAGGAUAACAAUAAUGCUUAUAUGCUGGAAUCUUUGGAUCUUUCCAAAUUUUAAAGGGAGUAUUGGUUCUUGCUUUCUGGUGGUUGUUAGGGUGAUCUCAUUUGUGGUGUGUUAUAACUCUAGGCUUCUAAAAUAGUAUAAAAGAGAUAGGAAAAUGAUAAGGCUUGUGGUGUUGAUAUUUAUUCAAUCCCCCAUAUUGUUGACAGAUAAAGAUAUUUUAUAUUGAGUGGGUUUUUGGAUCCUAUGAGCCAUGUGAGUCCUACAGGGUUGAGAUUCGAAGUUCUAAUUAUGCUUAAAAAACUUAUGAAUGGCUUGAUAUUUCUUUUGACAAUGGAUUUUGUGUUAUGAAUUUGUCUAACUUGGAAUCAAUGUUGUCAAAUAGCUGCUAUAGCCCUAUAGCAUAGCGGAAGUUGAACAAAUUGCUGUUGCUCCUACAAAGUGUUUCCAAAUAGCUGCUAUUGCGGCGCUAUAACACUAUAGUGUAGCGCAAUUUGUAUUAUGAGCAGAGCACCAAUACACCGGUGAUCUCAUUGGCGAACAGAGCAUCAAAGAAUCUGGAAGCAAAAUAGUUUUAACCUUAGAAGCUACUGCAUAUACCCACCAACUCUUUAUUUUUGCUUGAAGGCACUAUUGCUCAUAUUUAUUUUAUUUUUUUGACUUUUCUAUAAGUUUGGCAUUAUCUCUAUUACAAAAGUCUUUUAUUGCUGUUAUUUGUCAAAGUUUUGAAACUUUAAACCUUAUGAAAUAAAUAAUAAAUUGUUGACAAUUUUUCCCUAGGAUUUGUAUGGGAGUUGGGAGGGGAAGCGAGAGGUUGAGGGCAAAGGGAAUGAAAUAUGAGAAGUCUUUCCCAAACACGAGUUUUUGGAGGAGGCGACGGGUUAACUUUAGUGUUGUCGAUGGCGGAAGCCCAAAAAAUAGCCUAUAAACAAUCCAUUGCGGUCUGUGGCGCCGCCAUGCUGGGCAAACCUAAUACGGUGGUUGUCAAAAAAUCUGCUAUGGCCGUCAUUUGACAAUGCUGGUUGACUUGUGACUAAUAUUAUCUUUGGUUGAGACUUUGAGUGUAUUAUAGAGGGAAAUGAUUUUUUGAGUUCCCUAAAAUUGGGAGAUUUUAAUCCUAUGAAGAAAAAUAAACCAUCAUACAACUUAGGGACUAUCCUCCCGUCCAUUUCUUCCUCCCUUUCCUCUCAACACCUCAACACGCUUCUCCUCCCAAUUCUAAAACAUAACCUUAGGGGCCACUUCCACGUGGCUUGAAAAAACCAUCAAAGAAAAAUAAGUCUUGGGAUCUUUUGGAAAUCUCAGACUAUUGAAUUUUGUGAAUAUAAUCUAAUUGCAUUUUGUACAUUAAGAUAUAAAAGUUAUGAGUUCCUUAUAGUCUGUCACAUUUCCUGGAAGUAUUUCGAUGAACUGUGUGUCAGCUAUUCAUUGGCAUCGCCAGUUGAGAGUAAAUCUUUCAGUCUUUGUAGUUUUAUAUUGUGCUUUUGUUUAUUAAAUAUGGACAAACAAGGUAAACACAAACUUUGUUUUAGUAUUAAUGCGAGCCAAUGUUGUAUUUGAUUAAGCAUUUCAACCAGAUUCAUAUUUAAUAAGAUGCCAUUGAUCUAGUUGCACACGUUAGUCCUUUGGUCCCUAUCGACUCUCAGCAAUCUGGAAACUUCAACAUGAAAUGGACUUAGAAUCAAUGAUUUUUGCAUCUUUAAUGUGUGAUGCUGAAUUUGGCAUAUCGGUUUUACCAACUGCUUUUGUGCAAAAUUUCAGGAAUUUAUGUUGGUGAUGGAAUGGUCCUCCACUUUACAAGGGGAGGAGGGCAAGAAAUCGGAACAGGAACCGUGUUGGACCGUUUCCUUUGCAGUUCAUCACCCUCUAAUGCUACCGAAACUCCGUGUCUGAAAUGUGGUGACCAAAAUAAGACCGAUGGUGUCAUCUCUUCCUGUCUGGAUUGUUUUCUCUCUGGUGAUAAUCUAUACCUCUUCGAGUAUGCUGUCUCGCCUGCAUACUUUCUAGCCAAAGCUCGAGGCGGCACCUGCACCCUAGCAGUUUCUGAUCCAACAGAAGACGUCCUUCGCCGCGCCUCAUUUCUUCUUGAAAAUGGAUUCGGCGGUUACAAUGUUUUCAACAACAACUGUGAAGACUUUGCAAUUUACUGCAAAACAGGUCUGCUUAUAUUCACAAGCAUCAGUGUUGGCCGGAGCGGACAAGCAGCGUCUUGCUUGGCUGCUGCUAGUGCUGUGGUUUCUACUCCACUUCGCUUUAUGACGACAAGUUUCAGUGGUUUGGCUGCGGUUGGCUAUGGCAUGUACUGUAUGAGCCGAUUGGUUUCUGAUAUCGGAGUUCGCCGCGAUGUAUCCAAAGUUCCGGUGGAAAGGCUUAUAGCUUCACCUGACAUAGGUCAACCAGAGAAGACAGCUGAGAUGAUCAAAGAAGAUUAGAGCUGGUUGGAUAAACUCUUAUGUUGAAUAUUCAGCUUAUAUGUAAAGAUUAUGAAUGCCUUGUUUGUUAAAUGUAUACAUUUGAUGUUAAAUUGUUUCUCACCAACAUUUACUGUUUGUAUUUGUGGAUUUUAUUACUUCAUAUAUGGAUGAUGUGAUUCACAAACAAUACAUUAUAAAUGUCAGCAAUUAAGAUUUAUUUAAUAGAUUAUAAUUCUUUUUUACUAAAGUUAAUUGGAUAUAUGCAUAAUAUAUUAGCGGUGUUUUCUGCCUUAAGGAUAAUUCAAACGGUAGCUAUAGUUAUAGUGUUAUUUGAUUUGAUUGAAUUUGGGAUAUUUCUUUUCCUACACAUUAAAAUUGAGUGUAAUAAAGAAAAAAGAUAAUAAUUUCGUAAAAAGUAAUAAAAUUUAUCGAUUAUCUUAAGUAUAUGCAAAUAACUUUAAAAUAACAGUUAUUAGGCCAAAAUUAAUUUUUUAUAGUGUAUAUUUAUUUUUGUUCGUACGUAAUAAUGGAUUCAUAAUGGAUUCAUGAAUUCAUUACUUUCAAUUGUAUUAUUAUAAACGCUAUUAAAUAUUAUACAAACAACACAAAACAUUAAGCGCUAUUAAAUAUUGCAUAGGCAACACAAAACUUAGCGCUUAUGUUAUAAACGUUAUAAAAUAUUUUAUACAAAUAAACAAGUGAACAACACAUAACGUAUUGCACGUAAGCGCUAUAAAAGUAUAACAUUUUUUACAUAUAAGCGUUAUAACUUUCUAAAUGACACUUGCGACAAAAACAAAAUUGCUUGUUAAUUAUCGGGAGUUUAAUUUCACGCCAUAAUUUCCUUCUUUUUGUCAAGACUUAAAAUUUCCUCUUUCAUUUUCACUUUGAAAUUGCAUUUCCCUCUUUUUUUUUAUAAGUAAACUAUUUUCUCUCUUUCACAUCAUUUCACCCUUCCAUUUUCACCCUUCAUUUUUCCUCUUUUGUUUUACGCAUUAUGCUUCCAUGUCGCCAGCAUCAACGCUGUCAUGCCUCACGUUUGAAAUGUCUUCAUCUCCUUUCUGUUUUUACGUCUUCUUCCAACUUUUCAUCUUUCAAUGCAGCAAGCUACGAUGCCAACACAUUGUAAGCUUGAUUUUCCUUUGAUCUUCAUUUUUGUUUUUGUUUCUUAUUUAGGUUUCUAUUUUUGGUCUAUUUUAGUGCUUUCAACUUUUGAGUUUGCCCUUUAUUUUAUUCUUACAGAAAAACCUAAACUUCUAUCCAAGUUUGCCCUAAUUUCCUUCAUCUUUUGGUAUUUUCUCUUCUUCCCUUUUAACUUCUAAUUUUUUUUCCAAUUUACUCUUGAGAAAAACCCUGAAUUUAUGAUUGAAUGACAAUCAAUCUUUUAUUUUCAUUUCAUCAGAUUGAGGAUUGAUAACCUAAUGUAUAUGAAGUGUUUUUUUUUUUUUUUUAUUGUCAUGCAAUUGAAAUAAAUGAUUAAUCUCUAUUCAUUUUUAACUGGUCAACAUAUAAGGUUUGUGGGUAAUUUGUCCUUGAUUUUGUAGUUUUUUUUCCUUCUUUUUUUAUAUUAUUUUUUUUCUCAGUGAACUUUCAUCUAUAGCGCCAACAAGUUGGAGAUAUGUUUAAGGUGAUAUCAUAGAUAUUCAAUAAGAUGAGGGAAAAGAGGAAGAUUCUUGAUCUUACUAGCACACUCGAAUGUAUCGAGAAGAACUUUGUCAUUACUAAUCCAAAGCUUCUUGAUAACCCCAUUGUAAGAAAUUUAUAUAUAUUCUUUUUUAUAGUGUCAUCGUUUGUGUUUCUUUUGCAUCAAAGUUGUUUGGAGAUUGAUUGUUAAUUUGUGUAAUAUUGUAACUAAAGAUGACAUAUAUGAAUAUGAGGGUAAAUUUUUAUUUGAUUUUUUAUAUAUUUUCCUCUAUUUGUCGGCUCACGUUUUUUGUAACGUCAAUUUGACGUUAAUGACCAAAAAUAAAGUUUUUGGAUAUUGUAGAGAUGAAAUCCAAACAAAUAUUUUUCAGAGACUAAAAACACGGGGACCAAAAAUAUAUUUAAACGUUUUGGUCCACGCUUCCUUUUGUCAAUUAACAUUUUUGUAACGUCCAUUUGACGUUAAGGACAAAAAAUAAAUUUUCCUGAUAUUACUGGAUGAAAUCCAAACAAAUAUUUUUAUAUGUACUAAAACUAAAAACGGUUAUAUUUACAGGGACCAAAAAUAUAUUUAAACAAAAAAAAAAUUAUGUUGAUAUAAUAUUUUGUUGAUAUAUGUACUUUUAAAGAGUAGGUCUUAAUUGAAAAUAUAAUCAUUCUUGUUAAGAUUUAAAUUACAUUUAGACACAAAUUCAUAGGUUGCUUCAUUUUAUCAAAUUAAUUAAAACAAUAAGUUAUAUUUUAGCUUAACUUGUUUUAAAAAAUCAAACUAAUAGAAACCUAAAUAAAAGUUAACGAGCAGUGAUAUUAAAAACCUGAAUAAAAGUUAACGAGUAGUGAUAUUUGGACAUUCAGAUUUGGCUUGAGAAUGUUUAGGGUGUGCGACUAUAUAAGAUCUCAAGUAUUCAGGGAAAUCAAAAUUUUAUUUUUAUAGUAUAAAAAAUUAUAUAGUAAAAAAAUGUUAAAGGUUGUGUAGUUUUAUGUUUUUUCUUCUUAAACUCUAGAUCUAAAAUUCUAAAUUCAUAAUUGUUGAACCUUUAUGAUUGAAUAUGUACAAAAAAACGAUUGGCAUUUUUUAAUCAUUAGAUUUGAAUUUAAACCCUAGAAAAAAAAAUAGUUUUGUUUAUCAAAUUCUCUUACUCUUAUUACUCCUUGGUCCUAAAAUUUAUGAUAAAGAACAAAAAGUUCAAAUUAUUUGUUUUAAGAAUCUCUUUUACUAACAAUUAUUCGUUCCUACUUUCAUCUGAAAAACAUAAUCAUCUCUUGUUAAAAUGAUGGCUGAAUGGGAUCUUAACAUCUUGUCGUGCAAAAGUAUAUAUAUGUUGAUUGCAUCGAACAUCAAAAAAUUCAUUAUCAUUAUCUUAGUCAUAAGAUCCAAGCUGAAUUGAUUAAUAUGUAUAAAAAAACAUAAUAAUUUAUUUAAAAUUGCAUCAAAUAUAAUAAAAUACAUUAUCAUAAUAUGACUUAUAAUAAAAUAAAAAACAUGAAUAAAAAUAAAAUAGGACACCAAUUUCAAACUUUGCACAUGACACUAAAAUUUUCAAGAACCACUUUGUGAACAUUUGUUACUUUUCUACACCCAUUUACCACUUCAUCCUCUCCUUAUCUCUUUCUUUCUAUCACAUCACUAUUCAUUACAUUAUUUUCUCUAUUUUUUUUUUUCUUUAUGUGAAGGUAUUGAUAAGGUGUAUGGGUAUAUAUCCAAAUAUAAUUGUUAACAAAUCAAUUUUACAUAUCAAUUAUUAUAUUUGAACACCUUUAAUUUUCAUUUAUUUAUUCAACACUUUGAACACUUCAAUCUUACAUAUCAUUAUCUAUUUUUUCUCUCUCAAAGUAUCAAAUGUAUGUUUGAAUGUCUACUAAUACUACGUAUAUUUCGAACAAACCAAAAGAAUAGCCAAUCUUGUAUUAUAACCAUAAAUAUAUUAUUAAAUAACUCCGAUGGUCCAUAAUAAAAUGUGGUGGAUGAUAAAAUUUAAUGGUAAAAAAAAGUAGACCAUCAUAUACCAAUGCAUCUAUUGGGUGAAUGCUAAAAGGAACCGUCCACCAAACAUUUUUCCUUUACAUAUUCUUUUACCAUGGAAUUCUAGGUAUUAGCUAGAUUGUGUACAACAAAAUAACAAGGAGGAAAAAAAUAUCAAACUCAUGUGUAUGUGAUUUUUAGUUUCGUAAAUUUGAUACCAAUAGAAAAGCUUGAUGAUAAUAGUCAUCGACUAUAAUAGUUAAUAAAUAUUUUGACCCAAAAAAAUACUUAUUAUUAUUGUUAGAGUAAAUGGUUAACAUCAAUAGCAACAUAAAAAUUACAUUAAAAAAAUAGAAAACAUAAACUAAUAUUUAAUUGAAUAAUAUCUUAGUAAUUGAUUUUAGUGAAACCCAAAUCUCGUAAAAAUGUUGUAUUUUUAUUUUUUUAAAUUUAUAUAUUUUAUUUUAAUAAAACAUUUUAGAAGCAACUUAUUGUUAUAAAGAGAAAAUAAAAUGUUAAUUAAUCGAGAUAAAUUUUGAAUAUAAUAUUAAAAGUUAUAUACUUUUAUUGUUUCUUAAAAUAUAGACAAUUUUGUUGACGAUAAAUUUGACACAAACUUUUAAAAAUAAAAAUAAAAUAUUUUCUCAAAGUAUAGUAGCCCUUAAAGCAUGUCACGAUGUUCAACGUCCUUCAUGUAUAUACAUAAAUAUUGUCGGUUUUAAUAAGUCUGGCAGGUUAAUACACCACGUAUGACUACAAUUACAAGUUGACACCUCAUGAACAUCUGUUUUAAACCAAACUCUUCUUUGGUCCACUCCAAAUUAGACCUAAACUCAAUAUUACCUAACCCUAUCUCCACCUCAAUCACAUACACGACUACAAUUAUAAGUUGACACCUCGUGGAGAAUUGUUCUGGACCAAACUUUGAUCCACUCCAAAUUAGACCCAAACAUAAUAUCACCUAAUUCUAACCUCCACCUCAAUCACAUGUUAAUAUUGGAGUGCAAUUUAUAGCGACUAAAUAUUGAUAGUGUAGCUAUUUUAUAUACAAAUAUUAUAAUUUUUAUGCAAAAAAUACAAUUUUUUAGAAGGCCCAACGGGAUUUGAACCGGUGCAGUCAGAUGCUCUACUACUGAGCUAUCAACCCAAGUGCUUUUUAGAAUUUAAUUAAUAUAAUAAUUUUACUAAAUAAAACAAAUGAUUUAAUUAUAAAAUUUGCAAUUGGCACAUAUUUAAUGAAAAAAUAAUGAAUUUAUCGUACUUUAUUUAAAUAUUUUAGGAAAUACUUUUUUUUUGUGUGCCAGCAAUUAUUAUAUCAUACAAAGAUCAAACGAACAUAAACCCUAUACAUAAUAUAAAGGUCCAACAUAAAAAUUUUAUUUCAUUUCGUCCUUUGUUUAAUUGUCGAUUUUAUAUAAAAUAUUGUUACCAUAUAUUAGUUGAUUUCAAAUUGUACAAUGCAACAUUAACUAUUGAAUUAUAAAGAAUUAUAUAUAUAUAUACAUAUCUAAAUCACUCGUCAUAAUAACAUGUUGGAAAAAUAUAGGUGUCCACAAAUUUUGUAAAUAAGUAAUGAUAUAUGUGUAACACUUGAUUAAUCACGUAUAAAAAUAUGAUUAAUUCAAUUAAGUAAUCGAUUAAUUGAGCUAAUUAACCAACAUUUUAAACGUAGUUUAAAUUAAGUGUCCGAUACUUCUACUCUAGGAGAAUAUAAACCAACUAUAAAUGGUACCAUAAAUUUUGAAAAUUAGGUGCAUGGAUGCCAUGUGCACAACAAAUACAUCUUCUUGGAUACAACAAUGGUACCACACAACACAAAGAUUUGCAAAACUAGUUGUGCAUGAAUGCCAUGUAAAGAAAACACCCUCUUGGAGACAACCAUAAAGUUUGGAAACGAUCAUGAAGUUGUGUUGCAUGGAUGACAUGUACUCAAACUUGGUAUCCAUUUAUACAAAUAAAUGAUUGAACAAUAUAUAUACGACAAGUUUUGCAUGCAAUUGUGAAUUUAUUCUCUAAAUAAUAAGAAUAUUGUAACAAUCUCAUAUUCAUCUCACUAAGAUUCAACAAUCAUCACUUUUUUAUAGCCGACAAAUGGAGUUUGAAUAUUUAUCUCUUUUAGCUUUGUUUUGUGUAGCGGCCUAUAUUCUACUAUGCUAGCUUGAUCAUAUUAUAUGUAUGGUUUUCGUUUGAAAUCAUCAUGAACACAAAUCUAUUGUGAGUAUUUUAUACAUUUGGCUUUUGUGAGAAUUGGUGCCUUAGCUAGGUAUGGUAAUGGGGCAAUUUUUGCAUUUCUUACCCAUGUAUCUGACUAGUCAUGGAAAAUCUACACCCGCUUUUAUUUUUUAUCGGGUGUGAAAUUUAAACCUUCAUUCCUAUCUGCGACGGGGUUCGGCCUUCCCUGCUUGCACUCACACUCAUUCAUAUAUAUAAAAUAAUAAAUUUAAAAGUUAUAUUUAUUAUAAUUAAUAUUAUACAAUAAUAAAAUUAAAAAAAAAUAUUAAAAUCAUGUUUUCUAUAGAGAGAAAAUUCUAAUUUUAAUAUUUAAAAAAUAUUAAAUAUAUUGAAUAUGUAUAUGUAUAUAAAAAUUUAAAAAUGACAAUAAAUUUGUGUGCUCAAACCCCUCAACAAAUCGGUGUCGCUGAGAUAAAGAACCGACACUUGGUGGAAAUGGCUCGUAUCAUACUCCUUCACAAUAAUGUACCUCCUCGUUUUUUGGGGGAUGCAAUUCUCAUAGCUUGCUACUUAAUCAAUCGCAUGCCUUCCUUUGUACUUGAAAACAAGGUACCACAUUCUAUUUUAUUUCCUCAACAAAAUCUUUAUACCCUACCACUCCGUAUCUUUGGGUGCACAUGUUUUGUUCAUGACCUUACUCCAUGGAAAUAUAAGCUUGUUGCAAAAUCCCUUAAGUGUCUUUGUCUCGCUACUCUCGCUGCAGAAAGGUUAUCGGUGCUAUUCUCCAGAUAUUCGACGAUACUUUAUCUCUGCCGAUAUCAAUUUCUUUGAGACUCGUCCUUUCUUUCUCUCUACUGCAGAAGAGUUCAAUGAUUCUGGUCAGUCACAAUCUAUCUCUCCAGAGGUCCUUAAUCUCCCCAUUGCACCCACCCCUAUCUCUAUUUCCACCCCUGUCUCUAGCACCACCCUAUGCACCUACCAACGAGGCCCCGUCCACCACCCGCUCCUCAAGACUCAUCCCCUGCUCUACCUAACUCUCAUUCUCUGCAUCCUACACAAGGGCUACCCAUUGCUUUGCAUAAAAGUCACAGGUCAUCUCAAAAUCCUAAUCCUAUAUAUGUUUGUCAUUUGAAUUAUAAUCAAUUAUCUACAUCCUAUUAUGCUUUUGUGGCUUCCUUGGAUUAUGUGUCUAUUCUGAAAACUACAAGGGAAGCUAUGUGUAAUCCUGGCUGGCGACAAGCAAUGAUAGAUGAAAUGAAUGCUUUUCACUCCAAUGGGACAUGGGAUUUAGUACCUCUACCUGAUGGAAAAACCACAGUGGGGUGUCGUUGGGUCUAUAUAGUCAAAGUUGGGUCUGAUAGAAAUAUUGAUCGCUUAGAAGCUCGUCUUGUGGCAAAAGGAUACACACAGAUCUUCAGCCUUGACUAUGGGGAUACCUUUUCUCCAGUUGCCAAAAUCGCAUUCGUCUGACUUUUUCUUGCCAUAGCUGCUAUUCACCACUGGCCUCCACCAAUUAGACAUAAAAAAUUUCUUCCUGCAUGGAGAGUUACAAGAUGAGGUGUAUAUGGCACAACCACCAGGCUUCACUGUUAGCGGUACCUCUCACUUGGUAUGUCGAUUACAUCAAUCUCUAUAUGGCAUGAAACAACCUUCCCGUGAUUGGUUUGAGAGGUUUAGUACCGUGCUCUAGGAGUAUGGUAUGACUAGAUGUGAAGCUGAUUACUUGGUUUUCUUCUUGCACUAUUCACCAACCACUUGCAUCUACUUGCUUGUCUAUGUUGACGACAUCAUCAUCACAAGUAAUGACUAGGUUGACAUUCAUCAGCUCAAACAACAUUUGUCUCAAAACUUUCAGACUAAAGAUUUGGGACCGCUAAAAUAUUUUUUAGGGAUUGAGGUUGCUCAGUUUAACAAUUACUCAGUGGAAGUAUGCCCUUGAUAUACUUGAAGAAACAUGCAUGCUUGAUUGUCGCCUGCGUGAUACUCCUAUGGAUCCCAAUGUCAAGCUCCUACCAGGUCAGGGGGAGCCAUUGCAAGGCCCUGAUAGAUAUCGACGACUUGUUGGCAAACUUAAUUAUCUUACAGUAACUAGACCUGAUAUUGCAUUUGUUGUAAGUGUAGUCAGUAAAUUUUUGAUGCUCCAUGUGAUAGUCACUGGAAUGCUGUGAUUCAUAUUCUUAGGUAUUAUGAAUCCAGGUCACCAAGCCCCUAAGUGACUUAGGUAUUAUGUAGUCAGUAAAUUUUUGAUGCUCCACUGGAAUACUGUGAUUCAUAUUCUUAAGUAAAUUCAAUUCAAUGACCCCUAAGUGACUUAGUGAAUGCACCAAGCAAGGGUAACAUCGAAGUUGUUGGCUACUCUGAUGCUGAUUGGGUAGGGUCACCAUCAGAUAGAAGAUCCACUUCUGGGUAUUGUGUCCUUGUUGGAGGUACUUUGAUAUCGUGGCGGAGUAAGAAGCAAAACAUAGUCGCAAGAUCGAGUGCAGAAGCAGAAUAUCGUGAUAUGGUUGCAACGACUUGUGAACUUACAUGGCUAAAACAAUUACUCAAACAACUCAAGUUAUGAGAUGUCAAUGUAAUGAAACUAAUUUGUGAUAACCAAAUUGCACUUCAUAUUGCUUCCAAUCUGGUCUUCCAUGAGAGAACAAAACACAUAGAGCUUGAUUGUCAUUUUGUAAGAAUUAAAGUUCUUUUCGGAGAAAUCACAACUAAUUUUGUUGGUUCAAAUGAUCAAUUGGCUGACAUAUUCACUAAGUCACUUAGGGGUCAUUGAAUUGAAUUUAUAUGUAACAAGUUUGGUGCAUAUGAUAUGUAUGCUCCAACUUGACGAGGAGUGUUAGAAUUUAAAGUAUGAUUAUUAUUCUUUGACUAUACAAUUUCCUAGGUUAAUUGGUAGAACUUCUAGUCAAACACAAGUUUCUAGUAUUUUAAUGUAAUUAUCGUAACCUCAUUAUAAAUAGAAGAUGCGUGAUCAAAUAGUUCUUCAUCAUUUCUCUAACUAUAAAAAUAUAUUUAUUCAUAAUUGGUGAUCUUACAACUAUGAAAGUACACAACUAGUUGGAUUUGUCCAUGUCGAACCAUAUUAGCCACUUUACUAUUUAAGCUUCAAGAUUCACAUAAAUGCUCAAAUUGAAAUACCAAGCAAUUAUCUAUUUCUUAUGUAUUCAAUCUCAAAUAUUUUCUCUAAGCAAACAUAUUUUAGAUGCUCUUUCUAGAGUUUAGAAAAUAUUAUAUAAUCAAUAUAAACAAUAGUUAUAUCAAAUGUUUUAAAAAAAAUCAAGAAUGAGAAAUAUAUUAUUUAUUAUAAUAUAUUAAAAUAACCUUAAACAUUCUCUCCAUUGAUAUAUCAUCUAUUUAUGUGUCACUUACUCAAAUUUAUUCCACAUCAUAAAAAUUUGAUGUGUCACUCUCUAUAUUCAUUCACCCUUAUUAAAUUAUAUCUUCUAUGCUUUCAUUGUAAUACCUUAUCAUUCAUGUCCUUAAAUGCAAUUCAUUUUUAUAAUUUUUGGUUACUUAAUCUAUCAAUGCAUAUGACUAUUGUUUUCACCUUUUCUGUUACUAAACUUUGUUUUGUAAAAAAAAAAAUUUUGGACCUCACUAAACUUCUUUGUCUUCUAAACUUAAACAUAAUCUUCUAAACUUAAACAUAUCUGCUAAUUAACUUUUAAGUCACACACCCUUACUUAAUAAAUUUAUUAAUGUUAAUAUAUUAUCAUCAAUGUGCUCAUUUUAAUUUCUAAAUCAAUUUGUAACAUAAAUUUUAAAUAAUCAAUUCAUUCAUUCUAUUUGGUAGUUGAAUUAUUUUUUAUUCUAAACCAAAGUAUUGUAUUAAUCUUAUUUGAUAAUUCAUCAAUUUUUAGAAGAGUUUGCGUUUAAGAUUAUUUGUAAUUUUUUGCAGGGAUCAAAUUUGCUAAUUUAGAUUUGUGUUUUUCAAUUUCAAGUCUCUGUUGAGAUUUGCCAGUUUAAAUUUCUUGCAUUGAAGAAGUAAAAUUAAUGAAGGUUCUCUUCCAUUGUCAAAAAAGACCAACAAUAUUGGAUAGCUACUAUGGUAACAUUAUCUAAUUUUUAAAUUAAUUAUUUUGUGUUUUUUUUACUAUGAUUUGGUUGUUCUUCUGCAUUUCAUGUUUGAUAAGUCUCUAUUUCAUGUUUGAUAAGUUUAAAUAUUUUUUAUAUGACUGUAUUGUAUCGAUUAGUUGUUGUGUAAAUGUGAAGGUGAUUUAAGUAAAUACAAAAAUGGUGGAUUCAACAUCCAAAUGAUUGUCCUUGGGCGUUAUGUUGCUAGAGGGUACUGCUCAAAGACGGAAAAAUUUAUCUAUAUAUAAAUUAUUUACUAUGUUAAACAUAGUUUGGUUAGUAAGCUAAUGGACAACAAACUAAAUUUAAACAAACCAUGAUACUAAAAUAACUAUACUAAUUUAUUUUUGUGAAUGUUAAUUUUUAUUUCAAUUUCAUUGUGUAUAUUUUAGUAACAUAAACUUUAAACUUAUGUAAUAUUAUUAGAAUAUAUAACAAUGCAAAUAAGAUUUCUGUCAUUUGUAUAAAUAGACACCUUAAUUGUGAUUAUGGAAUAUAUUUCAUUAUCUUAACACAAUUUUGUUAAAGUUGUAACGUUUUCGAGCAUGAAUUGUCUUUUGCACUUUGUAAAUAAUUUUCACAAUGUUGAACUUUUCAAUCUCUUAGUAUAAUACAUUGACUUUCAAUAAAGCUUAGUUCUACAAUUUCAAAAUAAUUUUAUAUAUCUCCGAACUCAACCUCUAACGUGCUGAUAUUUUACAACAUUUCUAUUUGAAGUAUGAUUUUUGACUCAAAAUUAACACUUUUAACUCUUCACGCAAUUUAAAAAAUAAUAAUUUAAUUUCAUGAAAAAUCUCGUGCAAUGUGCAUGGAUCCAUCUAGUUAUUAUUAAAUUGACAUUAAUGACUAUUUUAAAAUUAUACCUUAGAGAAUUUAAAUGAUAUAUGCUAAGUUAUAAUAUUACACUCAUACGACCGAGCUAACACAUCAUAGACAUAAUUAUAACAUAUUUAUUUCUAUGUUUUCUCAAAUAAAUACAUAGAUAAAUACGGCCUUUUAUAUCAUUCAUUUAGAAAUUUUUACUGGCACAAUCAUACCACGUAGGCACACAUUGUAUUAAUCCAUAAAGAAACUUUUUUUUUGACUCAAAUCUAUAAAGAAUUAGUCAAUAUAGUAUUAAGUAAUCUCUUUUAGUUGGACAAUUGAUACUAAAUUAUUGUUGGUUGCCUUCUAAAAAUCUAUCAUGCCUCAUCACUAUACUUAGAAAAGUAAAUUAAGCUUUGUUGAUAUAUAUCUCUAAUAUUUGGAGAAUCAACGUGAAUGGUACCACAAGCUUUAGAGAUUCUAUUGUAACUAUGCUGCAUGGAUGCCAUGUGCACAACAGGUUUAAUAACUCUUAAAGACAAGAAUAGUACCACACAAACUUUGUGGUGCAUGGAAGCCAUUUGGACAAAGUAAAACAAGGUAGUUUUGAUACCCUUUUGGAGACAACCAUAAAGUUUGGAGUGUGAUGCAUGGAUGACAUUUGCACAAGCUUUCUUAACCACUUGGAGGAAUCAAUUUCAAUGUAUAACAAUGGCAUACGACAAGCUUUGCAUGCAAAUGUAACUAAAUAGUUGCAUGUGGAAUUACUAUAUAUAUGGCUACCUUGUAACAUUCAUACACACACUCAACUAAUUAGUUUCUAUAUAGUCAUCACUUCUUCAUAGCCAAUCAAUGGAGUUUGCACGUCUCUCUAUUUUAACUUUGUUUUGUGUAAGCUAACUCAUUUUCUACUUUACUUGAUAACUUUAAGUUAUGAUCUAUAUUGUUUCAAAUUCUUCCAUGCACUUUGAAUGUUUUAAAUUACAAUAUAAAUUAAUCUCAAUGUUUUGUGCAUGCAUAAAUAGUUUUCAUUAGAUAUUAUCAUGAAGAGGGACACUUUUACAAAACAUUGCUAAUAUGUAAUGUGAACAAUAUAUUUUUUGCAGUUAGCUUUUGUGGGAAUUAGUGCAUCACCACUGUCCGGUGAAGAUUAUUGGCAAUCUAUUUGGCCAAACACUCCUCUGCCUAAGAUUUUCUUAGAUCUACUUUUGCCUUGUAAGUAGUAUUGUAUGUGUUUGUUUAUUAACUUUGUUAUAAUGGUUUAGUUUAAUGUUUUGUUGAAGAGUUCAUAUCUCCUACAAUUAAUUUAUGGUACAACAACUAUAAGUACUCUUAAACUUAGAGAUAUAAACUUGAUCUCUCUAAAUCUAAUACUUUUUACAAUUGCUACACCAUAAAUUAGUUGUAGAGAAUCCAAUUUGUUGGUUGAUUGAUCUAUAAAUCAAUGGCUCGUCACGUUAAUGUUAUUGUUUCAUGUGUGAAUUAGUGUCACAUAACAUGAUAUAAGAUACUUUUUUUUUGUUAAUGUACAGAUGGAAGAACCAAUAGUCUACCUAUCAGAGCAGAAGAAAUGAAUCAAUAUUCAACACUCUUUUUCGAACAUGACCUUUAUCCUGGAAAGAAAAUGACCUUGGGUAAUAUUCAAUCUUUGGGAAAGAUGGUGCGACCAUUCAUAAAACCAACACAAGGUGUUACAGACUCCAUAUGGUUGGCAAAUAAAGAGAGACAAAGUCUUAAUGACUUUUGUUCAAGCCCAACUGCUACAGGAGAACACAAACAUUGUGUAUCAUCUUUGGAAUCAAUGAUUGAUCAUGUCAUUUCACAUUUUGGGACAACAAAGAUAAAGGCAAUUUCAAGUACCUUUGUCCAAAACCAAGACCAAUAUGUUGUUGAGGAAGUGAAAAAAGUUGGAGACAAUGCAGUGAUGUGUCAUAGAUUGAAUUUCGAAAAAGUUGUAUUCAAUUGCCACCAAGUGCAAUCAACAAUCGCUUAUGUGGUCUCAUUGGUAGCCCCUGAUGGAACUAAAGCUAAGGCUUUAACAGUUUGUCACCAUGAUACAAGAGGGAUGAACCCUGAGUUGCUUUAUGAAGCUCUUAAAGUUGAUCCUGGAACCAUCCCUAUUUGUCAUUUCAUUGGAAAUAAGGCUGCUGCAUGGGUGUCCAAUCAUUCUAAUGACCAUCUAUGUGUUAUUUAGGUGCUAACUUGUUGUGCACAUCAUUUCUCAUUCAAUAAUUUUACACUAAACAUGUGUUUGUAUGGAGAAACACGAUGUGCAAGUAUCAAAUCUCAUGUAUUUCAAAUAAAACUAGGUAGUUCUAUUCUAGUUAGAACUAUGGGUGUACUUUGGUAUGGUCGGUAGGCAACCUAGUUUCCUAUGAUCAAUACACCAGUGUACGUUUAAAAUCGAUAAUGAUAAAAAAAUGUUAUUUAAUGUAAUAUAUUGUUGAUAUUUCAUUUGUGUUUUAAAAAAGUAGAAUAUGUCUAGGGAUGUCAAUGGGUAGGAUUUGGAUUGGAUAUUAUAGUACUCGUUCCCUUAUCCGCAUUUUAUAAAAAUAUUCAUACUCGUGCUCGUGUAUCAACUUUAAUAUGUGUACCCUUACCCUUUGGGUACCUUAUUCGUCCAUAUACCUAUUAUACACACUUUAACUAAAAUAAAUCGAUAAAUAAGUGAUAUUGUUGUGAUUAAUUAUUUAAAAAUUAUUCAAAUAUCUUAAAUCUAAUCAUGAUGCUUAGUUUGUUUGUCAUCAUAGUGUCAAGUUGUUUUUUUUCUCGUUUAAGUGCGGUGUUUACAUAGGCAACAAACUUGUUUGUUUUUCCGUCUAAGUGUGGUGUAUACAAAGACAACAAACUUGUUAUGUUGGUACCAUACUCACUCGUUCUUAUAUAUGAUGAUUUGUCAACACGUGAUUGGAUUGGUCAUUUCAAAGAUCAUCCUAUAAUCAAUAAGAGCGAACACCAACAAUAUAUUUUUCCGAAGAUGGAUUGAAUUAAAACUAUAGAUCUUGUCUUAUUCUUGACUAUUGUCCAGGAAGAAAUUAGUUUGAUUACUUGAAUUAAAAUUUUGGCUUGAUCAUCUUUCAUUGAUUUAUAAAAUCUUUAUAUGUAUUGUUGGCAUGUUUUGUGUUUUUUUAAUUAGUUUUGAUCUCAAAAUAUAGAAGGGGAAUAUUUCAUAUCAUGAUGAAUUUGCUUGUAAUUUUCUUAUUUACAUUUGAAUAAAGCUUAAAACAAAUACAAACAUGCAAUAUAUUUCUAAUAUGGUGAAAAAAUAAGCAAAGAUAGUCACACAACUAGAGAUGACAACACAACUUGUAUUUGCGACUAUCCACUUGAAAUUUUUUCGAUUUGGACAGAGAAAACUCACUUUGAUUGGUUGCGGGUGUAGAUUUUCUCCGGAAUUAAAACUCGGGCGAAGACAGGUUUGGAGUAUUCAUAUCCACCCCGCCUUUGUUCUCAAACUCAUUUUGUUAGUACUAUUAUUGUCAAUUUUAAAUUUUAUAUACAUGUAUUUAUUCAAUAUAUUUAAUAUUUUUUUAAUAUUAAAAAUUAUAAUCUUCUCUCUAGAAAAUAUAAUUUUAAUAUUUUUUAAUUUUAUUAUAUUAAAUAUAAUAAAUAUGACUUUUAAAGUUAUUAUUUUAUGUAUAUGAAUGGGUGUAGAUGUGGUUGGGACCGAACCCCGUCAUAGAUAUAAAUAGAGAAUUAAAUUUUACACCUGAUAACAAACAAGGACGGUGGCGGGUUUUCUCGGGUGCGGGAUGGAGGAGGCGAAACCUGCAUCUGCCCCUAUUACUAUGCCUAAUGAAAACCACGUAAUAAUGAGUUCGUUUGUUUAAGAUUUUUAAAAAGUGAUUUUGACUUUAUAUUGGAAAUUUUUUUUAAGAUAACUUAUUGAAAAAUAUUAUAAGUUGCUUUAGUCUAAUUUGUUAUUGAUUAAAAAAUUAAUUUUGGCAUUCUAUAACUGAGAUAUUUAUUAUUAAAUAUUUUAACAUGAUAAUUUUAACAAAAAAUAUCUAUAAAAAAUGAUUUUUAUGAACAAAAUAAAUUUUAAUUUUAAUUUCUUUUUGAAAUUUCAUUAUCCAAAAAAAUUGUAGCAAAGAGAUAGAAUACUUAAAAUAAUAUUUUAAAAUAAACUAUGUAAAUCAAUUUUUCAUGUAAAAUUUUAUUUUUGAAAUUCUUUUUUAGAAAUUUUAUAACAAAAAGUAAGAUUAUUAUAAAAAUCUUGGACUAUCCCUAUGACUAUGGGAGUUGGAAGCUCUUAUUAAAAUUCUAAUCUAAAUGAAAAACAACCUUGCCCUUUUUUCCUAUAUACUAUAUUACACUCUAACCCUUGUUAUUCUACAAAACUUAAUUAUAGUUUUAUUAAAUUAAAAAAAAAUGUAAGUAGUUAUAAUUUUUUAAUUAAUAAUUUUUCCACUUUGCUAAUUUUUUUAAAAAAAAUUAACUAAAAUUUGAACUAGAUAAAGUAUAGAAGAAGGAAGAAAGAAUAGAGCAUAGAAUAUUAUAAUAUUUGCAUUAUAUUCUUCGAGGUGUAUUUCUAUAAAGUCACAUGAGUUCUAUUGAUAAUAGGAGAUAAAUCUUGUAACUUAUAAGUAUAUUAAGAGUCUAUUUUUAGAUGCACUAACAAUUAAAGCGAAGAACAAUAACAAUUGAGUGAAUGACUUUAAUUUAACUAUGGAGUUAUAUGAUGUAGGAAUAUAAACAUCCACUAAAUACUUUAAUUAUUCACUACACUCCCCCAUAUGAAAACCUUACUAAAAAAACUAGUGGUAAAAAAUUCUUGUGAAGAAAAAAAUUUACAACAUUUUUGUGGGAACUGUCUCAUUAAAAAUACUUUAAGAAAAACUCAAAAGGGAUAAAAUUUCGGUGAAGGAAAAAAUAGUGCAUUAUAUAUUUAUUUAUUUAUCAUUUCUAUGUAGAUAACAAUUUGUUAAACAAUAAAGAUCAAUCAAUUGUAGUAGUUGUUGAAAAAUUUCUUCGGAUGACUUCAUUGAUUUUUGUAUUAUCAAUUGGUUGAACAUUAAGACCAAAAACUAUUAUGCUAUAAUAUCUCUUGUUCUAUCUCCUAUAAUGAAUCAUUCUCAACUAAGGUGUGGAUGCAAUAUUAUUCUCAUAAAUAACUACUAUAGUUAUUGUUAUGAAACUUAAAUCAUAAUUCAUUUGCCUAUGUUGAAUCAUGACAGAUUUAAGUCAAAAACACCUUCUCGACUUUCCUAUGUGUAGUUCUAAGUAUAUAUUUCACUAUAUUUCAAUGCAGUUGUCUAUAUAUAUAAAGGACUACAUUUGUCUAAUAGAUAGAUUAACAACAAAGUAUAUUUUAAUGUGUAUUUUUAGAAAGGUAAAUAAGUAUAAUACAUAUAUAUAUAUAUAUAAUAUUUGGACCGUUCGAAAAAUAUAUUUGUUCCCAAUUGGUGAUCUUAAAACCAUCAAAAUAAACAAUUGAUUUGUUUUGUAUAUAUAGAACCAUUUUAGCACAUUUAUUUUUUAAGCUUCAAGAUUCAUAGAAACUUCAAAUGUUUUAAAAGCUCUUCUUAAGUUUAGAUAAGAUUUAUAUCAUUACCAUAAAUAAUAAUUAUAAUAUUUUUUUUUUUAAAUGGGAGAAGGAUAAAUUAUUAUUAAAUUAACACUAAUGACUAUUUUACGAUUGUUCCAAAUGAUAUUUGAAUUAUAUCUCUUUUGAUUACAAUAUUAAAUUCAUAUUGUUGAGCUACCACCUUAUGAACAUAAUUGUAGCAAAGUCAUUGUACAUAUUUCUAGUAGUGUUAAGUAAUCUAUGUUGCAAUUACAUUUACUAAACAAGAUGCGCUCAAUAUAAAGAUUAAAACUAUAAUUAUAUUUUAGUAUGGAAGUCAAACAAUGAAUGAACAUGCAUAUAAAUUAGGAUCUUCCACAUAUUUGAUUUAUCAAAGAUAUUUUUGAUGAAUUCAUUUAUUGUGGUCUCUCGGUAGUAGUCUUGACACACAUAGAAAAUAAAGACGGAUGACAAACACAAGUCACUUGUUACACACUCAUAUUUGAGUAGAACCCAUAUUAAUUAAUUUAUUUAGUUAGUAAUUCGAAUUAAUUUAAUUUAUUUAUGGCUUAAGUAUAUGUCUAGUCCAUGUAAUUUAAUGGUUUUUUUUGUCCCUAUAAUUUUUUUUGUUUCAAAUUUAGUCACAUAAGUUCAAUUUUGUUUUAAAAUCGUCUUUGUUGUUAGUGACUGUUAAAAAAAGCAGACAUGACAAAUAGAGAAUGGGUGGAAAAAAAAAGUGCAAUCUUACAAGAACAAAAAUAAAAAUUUAAAAAAAAAACACGAAUUUACAAGGACUAAACAUAUAUACUUUGAUUUGAUUUUUGACUCUGCAAGUUCACGCUUUUUUAUUUUCAUUUCUUCUCUGUUUUCCAUGUCAGCUUUUUUCAACAAUAACUAACAAUAUAGACGGUUUUAAAACAAAAUUGAACUUACAAAUUUAAAUUUGAAACAAACAAAAAAUUACAAGAAUGAAAACAAAAAAAAAACGCUAAUUUACAGAAACCUUAAAUUUUUUAAGCUUAAUUUAAUUAUUUAAUUUGAUCGCUAGUCAACUAAUACUCUUAAUAAAUAAAUAAAUAAUAUAAUUAAUAUAAGAUAUUUGUCUACAUAAUAUAAUUAGAAUAUAAUUAAAUAGUAAAAUAUUUCUAAACAUCUGUUCUAGUUGGAAAAUUGACACUAAAUUUUUGUUGGUUGCCUUCUAAAAAUCUAUCAUGCCUCAUCAUUGUACUAAGAAAAAUAAAUUAAGCUUUGUUAAUACCUUUACUCAAGGAGAAUCAACAUUAAAUAUUGGUACCACAAGUUUUGGAGAUUCUAUGUAUCUAUCCUGCAUGGACGCCAUGUCAUGGAAACAACAAUGGUACUACAAACCUUGGAGUGGGAUGCAUGGACGACAUUUGCACAAGUUCUGUUACCCACUUGUAGGAAUCAAAAUGAAUGAACAAAAUGGUUUAAGACAAGCUUUUCAUGUGAACUUACUAUAUAUAAUGGGCACCUUGUAACAUUUAUACACACACUCAAGUAAACUUAUAUAUAGUCAUCACUUCUUCAUAACCAACCAAUGGAGUUUUCACGUCUCUCUAUUUUAGCUCUAUUUUGUGUAAGCUAACUUAUUUUCUACUUCAAGAAUUAAAAGAUCCAUACAAAGUUUUCAUUAGGAAUUAUCAUUAAGGAAUAAGGAGGGACACUUUUUUUAAACAAUACUAAUAUAUGUAAUUUGAAUAUUUUUUAUUACAGUUGACUUUUGUGGGAAUUGACGCAUCACCAUUGUCUGCCGAAGAUUAUUGGAAAUCUGUUUGGCCAAAUGCUCCUCUUCCAAAGGCUUUCUUUGAUCUAUUGUUACCUUGUUAGUAGUAGUAUUAUAUAUAUAUUUGUUAGNNNNNNNNNNNNNNNNNNNNNNNNNNNNNNNNNNNNNNNNNNNNNNNNNNNNNNNNNNNNNNNNNNNNNNNNNNNNNNNNNNNNNNNNNNNNNNNNNNNNNNNNNNNNNNNNNNNNNNNNNNNNNNNNNNNNNNNNNNNNNNNNNNNNNNNNNNNNNNNNNNNNNNNNNNNNNNNNNNNNNNNNNNNNNNNNNNNNNNNNNNNNNNNNNNNNNNNNNNNNNNNNNNNNNNNNNNNNNNNNNNNNNNNNNNNNNNNNNNNNNNNNNGAAUUUACAUUAUGACGAUAGUUGUAUGUAUUUCUUCUAAUUUAUUUUUUAUUCUUUUAAACCCAAUGGUUCCUACGGCUCCUACUCAAUAAAUCAAUUGUAGGAGAUCCAAUUUUUGUUGAUAGAGCUAUAAAUCAAUUGUAGGAGAUCCAAUUUUUGUUGAUAGAGCUAUAAAUCAAUUGCUCAUUAUAUUUUUGUUAUUUUUUCAUAUAUGAAUUAGUGUCUCAUAACAAGAUUUUUAAGACUCAUUUUUAUCUAUUAUUGUGGCAGAUGGAAAAACCAAUAGUCUACCCAUAAAAGUUGAAGAAAUGAAUCAAUACUCGACACUCUUUUUUGAGCAUGAUCUCUAUCCUGGAAAAAAAAUUACCUUGGGUAAAAGUCAAUCUUUGGGAAAGAUGGUACGACCAUUCACAAAACCAACACAAGGUAUCACAGACUCCAUAUGGUUGGCAAAUAAAAAGAGACAAAGUCUUAAUGACUUUUGUGCGAGUCCAACGGCUACAGGAGAACAUAAACAUUGUGUGUCAUCCUUGGAAUCAAUGGUUGAUCAUGUCAUUUCACAUUUUGGGACGACAAAGAUUAAGGCAAUUUCAAGUACUUUUACCCAAAAUCAAGAUGAAUAUGUUGUUGAGGAAGUGAAAAGAGUUGGAGACAAUGCAGUGAUGUGUCAUAGAUUGAAUUUCGAAAAAGUUGUAUUCAAUUGCCACCAAGUGCAAGAAACAACCGCUUACGUAGUCUCAUUGGUAUCCCCUGAUGGAACUAAAGUUAAUGCUUUAACAGUUUGUCACCAUGAUACAAGAGGUAUGAAUCCUGAAUUGCUUUAUGAAGCUCUCAAAGUUGACCCUGGAACUGUCCCUGUUUGCCAUUUCAUCGGCAAUAAGGCUGCUGCUUGGGUACCUAACUUUUCUGAUGACCAUCUUUGUGUCAUCUAGAUGCUAACUUCUUGUGCACAUCAUCUCCCUUUCAAUAACAUCAUGUUCAAACUGGCUUUGUUUUAUUAAAUUUAUGUAUGUAUGUAUGGAGAAUGUGAUGUGCAAGUAUGGGAUUUCAUGUAUUUCAAAUAAAACUACUUCUAUUUUGAAUAUGUGUAUAUUUGCAUGUGUUGGGAGUUUGAUAUCCUCUACUCAGUACCUUGAUGUAUGUUGAACUUGAUAAUAAUGAGAAAAAAAGAGUUGUGUUUGAUAUACCUUGUUGACUGUAGACUUUUUAGACUUUGGAUAGAAAAAUUUCUUCCUUGUUAAAAUUAAAAUUACAAUUGACCAUAAAUCUAUAAGUUUUUCCUUUUCUAUACUACAUUCAAAAGAAGGAAUUGUAUUAAAUCAUAUAUUCAAAAUUUAUUCUCAAAGUAACUAAAAUCACCAAAACACUCGCAGCAUAUAAUAUCAACUCAAUUUUAGUUACAUGUGAUGAAGAGAUUCGUAAAUUAUCUUUUAUAGUUUUGAAUAUAAGUAAAAACUAGAUGUUAAUCUCUGCAAUUUAAGUGGAUCUUUAAAAAAAUCAAUAUGAAAUUUUAUGUCUCAAUUGUCAAAUGAUUAUUGAUAUAGUAGUUAUAUCAAUAAUAUGCAUUUAAUUUUAUAUAUAAAAUUUAUAGAAGAGAAGUAUCAUUGUCACGGAUGUUGUUAGCAAACACACCCAACAAUAAGGUAAGCAAAAAAGAUAUAUGUACUAUCAAUUAAGAAGAAGUGAAGAAACUUCUCAUGUUAUUACGCUCAAUAUUGCAUAUUCUGAAAAAAUGUAUACAAUUGCUAUCAAAUAAGUAAUGGCAGAUAGAGGCGAAAAUAAAACAUAUUGACUAGUAACGUGAAAUUAAUGUGAAAGAUGUUUAGCAAACGUUAUGAAAUAAUAAUGUGAUGUUAUGAAAUAAUAAUGUGAUGUUAUGAAAUAACAAUGUGGGAUUAAUUUAGAAAACUUUGAGUAGACGUUAUAAAAUGAUUAUCUUUAUGAAGACAUACAGUUUUUUGGUUGAUGUGAGAAAUAUUUAUAUAAAGAAAAUAGUACGAGGUAGAUAGAUAAUAAAAUUUAUGAUAAUUACGAAAGUCAAGUAAUUUCAUUUAAUUUUUUGAAUACCAUAAAAAAGGGGGGAGGGCCCUGCCAUAGUUUUUAAAAGUAAUCGCAAAUAACGAUUUAUUGUUUAUUAUUUGUUCACAUUGUUCAAAAAACAUACUAAAACUUUAAUUUCAACUUGUUUUGGCGUAUUCAUAUAGUAUAACAUAGCAGUACUAUAUCAUUUAUUAAUUAAUUUAUUUCCUUUGUAGAAGAUUCAAUUUCAGAAAAAUAAAUUUGGCACAUAUUUUAUAUUAGAUGUUUCAUAUUUUAUUUGAUAAAUAUGAAUAAUUAUUGGAAAUGGUUAAUUAUUAUUAUUUCUUUUUUGUAUUUUUUAUUUUAAAAUUAUUAAUAAUUCAACGGUAAUUAAGAUUUUAAAAAUUAUUUUUUAUUUUUUGUCAAAAAAAUUAUAAAAAUUGAAACAAUACUAUUUAAUUUAUCAUAUGAAUUAGUAGAUUUCAAGUAAAAUUUUAAUAUUUCAAUUAUUUUUUAAAAAAACUUUUUUUUCUAUAAAAUGCAAAAACUGAAUGAAUAAUUAAUAUCAUUUUAUAGACUUAAAUAUAAUUUUAGCUAUUUAUCUUUACCUAAUAAUAAUUUUAUUUUUUUAUCUUUUUUUAUUCAUUUUGGUUCUUUAUUAUCUUUUGUAAGCGGUGUAAUUUAGUCUUUUUCAUCAUAAUUAUUUUAAACAACUAUAUAAUUAUUGUAAAGUUAAGUAUGCAAUUUAAUAAGGAUGGGUGAAAUCUAAGAAACUAUGAUAAACGUCAUUCGUUUCAAAGAGUUCAUAUAUAUUUUAAAGCAUGUAAGAAUUUUUUUUUUUCUAAUGCAAACCUAUUAUUGAGUUAAAUGCAUAUUUUUUUGAAAGAAUACAUUAUACUGAAUACAUAUUGACAAUUGUUAGAAGGGAUUUCAAUUAUCAAAUGUUGUUAUAACUUUUGUUGUCUUUGUGACAAAAACUGAAAUACACCACUUAUAAAAGAUAAAGUACCAAAAUAUUAAAAUAAAUAUAAAGGACCAAAUCAAACAAAAAAAUAAAUAUAUAAAUAACCAAAAUGAAUAUUAAAGAAAAGAUAAAUGACUAAAAUUAUAUUUAAGGCUAUUUUAUAAGAUGUGCAUGCAUUAAAAAAAUAACUAAAUGCUUUCAACUAACUCAAUAGUAUAUAAUUUGAUGUUAAUUCAACUGCACAAACAUAUCUAAUAACUUCUAAUUCUUCAAACAAAAUUUUACCAUUAGGAAAAUGGUCACAUUUUCCCAAGUUUUAAGAUGUUUACAUCAUAUUUUAAUUUAGGUUAUUAUUAAAUAAUAAUUUAACCCUUAAUACUAGACAAAAUUAAAAAUAUUCUCAGAUAUAUAUACAGCUCAAAUCUUCUAUUAAGCUCAAAUCUUCUAUUAAGUGGAUAAUUGUUAAGUUUUUAUUUGAAUGUAACUUUAAUUAUAUAUUUUUUAUAUCUUAAUAUUUAUAUAUCCUAAUUAAUAUUAUUGAAGUAAAAAAAGUUUUGGGUAUCCCUAAAAAAUUAAUGUCUUAAGCAGUCAUUUAUCUCAACUAUACCCUCAAGAAUACCACUGCCUAACGGACGGGUAUUUUUCACCAAUAUUUUGUAUGGUUGAAUACUAGACAAUGUAGUAAAGACUAGUGGACUAAGGAUACUAGUGUCAUGAACCACUUUGGUUUGGUCUUUUGUCACUAAAAAUACCAGAUGUAUUUUGAAUAACCUCUUUUUAAAUUUUUUUUACUUAAAUACUCACUUUUGAAAAGUAUUAACUAAAAUGUCUUUUUUUUAUACCUUAUAAGUCCCCAUUUAUAAAAGUAAUUUUUCCGUUGCAAUGGCGACUUCCUUAAAUAAUUUAAAAAAAAAAUUAAUUUAUAUAUAUAUAUAUAUAUAAUUCAUAAAAAUACAUAAACACAAAUUUUAAAUUACAUAGAUUCACUAGAGUUGUCUAUAACAUUUUAAAUUACCUAAUUUAUUCAUAAAAACAUCACAAAUUUUACAAAAAUUACGAUAAAAUUAAUGUCGAAAAUGACCUCCAGUAUCAUAUUGCCUAUGUUUUCUCACAGUACAUAUGUACCAAGGCGUCGUCAAAAUCUCGUUCGUGUGAGAAAAUAUUGGCAAUGUGGUACUGGAGAUUACCUUCGACAUUAAUUUUAUCGUGAUUUUUGUAAAAUUUAUGAUGUUAUUUAUGAAUAAAUUAUAUAAUUUAAAUUUUGUGUUUAUGUAUUUUUAUGAAUUAUAUAUAUAUAUAUAUAUUGUUAAUUUAAUUUUUUUUUUUUGAAAAUUGCUUAAAGAAAUCGUCAUUGCAAAUUCGGACUUCCUUAAAGAAGUCGCCUUUGCAAAUAGAGACUUGUAAGAUAUAAAAAUAAAAAUAAAAAAAAUAAAAAAGAACAUUUUGAUUAAUAGUUUUCAAAAGCGGGUUAACUAAAUAAAAAAUUUAAAAGAGGUUAUUAAAAUAAAAAUAAAAAAAAACCUAUAUCAGAGCACUAGUAAGGAAAAAUAUACACAAAUUAUAUAUUACUUUGAAAAUGUUCAUUGUAUAAUGUAACAUUUUUAUUUAUAUAUUUAUAAAAAAAAUCAUAUGUUGUUCUUUUGUUUUUAGCAAAGGCCAGUUAAUUUAAAUAGGUUUGUUUGUUUCAAUAUUUUAUUUAUUUUAAUUUAAAUUUUUUAUUGGAUUGUUUGUGUAUAAAUUUUAUUAUUGAUUUUUUUUUUCAGAUGUAAUUAUUAUAUUUUAAUAUAUUUUGUGGUUAUUUAUGGUUGCUAUAUUUUAAUUAUUAAAAUAUAGUUAAAAUAUUGUGAUGUAUUUAUAUACAAUAAAUUUAAAAAGUAAUUGAUAAUUAAAUCAAAUUUGUAAUGAAAGCUAUAUUUUUUUAUUGUUAGUUUUUAAUCAUAGUUACAUAGAACAAAGAAGUAGUAGAAUGAUAAAUAAAGAAGAAAUGAAUUCUAGAGAUAUAACAUGUCGUCUUAUCGAAGGACUUAGGAUAAUUAGUAUUACAUGACAUAUAAGGAUGUAUUUGUGAAUAAUAUAAUUAUUUGAGGAUUUAUUUUAAUAUAUUAUUGUAUAUUGUAUAUUUUAUAUUGAUCCUAAUCUCAAUGAAGAAAAAAAAAACUUAUCGUUUUUUCUAUAUACUAUAUUACACUCUAAUCCGUAUUGUUCCACAAACCUUGAUUAUAGUUUUGUUAACUUAUAAAAAAAUUGCUAAAUUUAAAAAAUAUGAAUUAACUAAAACUAGAGCUAAAUAGAAGAAUGAAAGGAAGGAAGAAAAAAUAUACUAGAGAGAGAAUAAGAGAGUAUUUGCAUUAUGUUCUUCAAGGUGUAUUUCUAUAAAGGCACGUUAGUCCUAUUUAUAGGUAAUAAAUCUUAUAACUUAUAAGUAUAAUAGGAGUCUACUUUUAACUAUGGAGUUAUACGAUAUAGAAAGAUGAACAUUCUUUAAAUACUCUAAUUAUUUACAAUACUCCCCCUAAUGAAAAUUUUAUUAAACAAACUCUGUCACGAAAACGGCUAAAACUGUAUUUAUGUAAAAACUGACUCAUUAAAAAAAAUUCAAGAAAAACUGAAGAAAAAAAAUCAAAUUUUAAGAAAAAAGAAUGUAUUAUUUAUUUAUUUAUCCCCCACACAAUAACCUCUAAAACAAGGAAGAUCAAAUUUUCGUAAAAGUUGUUGAAAAAUUUACUAAGUGGUGACUUUGUACAAAUAUGUAUCAUCAAUUAGUUGAAGAUUACAACCAAAAAAUAUUUUACUAAAAUACAUUUUAUUCUAUCUCCUUUAACAAAUCAUUCUCCACUAAGGUGUGCAUGCAAUGUUAUCCUCGUAAAUAAUUAAUGUAGUUAUUUUUCUAGAACUCAAAUCAUUAUUCAUUUGCAUGUGUUGAAUCAUGAUAGAUCUAACUCAAAAUACCUUCUCAACUUACCUCAUGUAAUACUAAAAUUUCUACAUCUAUAAGAUAACCAAGUAUAUAUUUCACCAUAUUCUAAUGUCGUUGUGUAUAUAUAUAAAGGACUACAUUUGUUUAAUAGAUAGUUUGAUGCAAAUGAUAUUUCACAAUAUAAUUAGAAAGAUACAUAACUAUCUAAUUGCACUAAUAUAUGAAAUUUUAUGAUCAAAUAGUUGAUAUUCAGUCAUUUUCUCUAGCUUAAAAAAUAUAUUUGUUCACAAUUGAUGAUCUUACAACCAUCAAAAUGCACAAUUGAUGUGAUUUGUCUAUAUUGAACCAUUUUAGCACAUUUUCUAGUUAAGCUUCAAGAUUCAAAGAAAAAUUAUUCUUUAAAUACUCAAUUUGUAACCUCAAGCAAAUUUAUAUCCUUCUUAUGUAUUCCAUUUCAAACGUUUUCUCUAAAAAAUCAGAUUUUAGAAGCUCUUCCUAAGUUCAAAUAAUAUUUAAAUCAUCAACAUAAACAAUAAAUAUAGCACACUUUUUAAAAAAAUGAGGGAAGGAGAAAGUAUUAUUAAAAUGACACAAAUUAUCAUUUUACAAUUGUCCCAAAAGAUAUUUGAAAUAUGUAUUUUAAGGUUAUAAUUUUAAACUCUUACAGUUGAGCUAACACUUUAUGGACAUACUUAUAGCAAGUUCAUUUCUACAUAUUUUCAAAUAAAUACAAAGAUAAAUAUGAUAUUUCAUAUCAUUCAUUUAAGAGAUAUUCAAUGAGACAAUUAUACUACAUGUAAACGCAUGUAUUAAUCUAUAAAAUGACUUAUUCAAUAUAAUAUUGAGUAAUCUAUGUUGAAAUUAAACUUACUAAUUAAUCAAUACAAAAGAUGCUCAAUAUAAAGAUUAAAACUAUAAUCAUACUCUAGUGCAGAAGUCAAAUAACAUUUGAACAUGCAUUUAAUUAAAAUCUAUCAUAUAUUUAAUUUAUCAAAAAUAUUAAUACCAAGAUUAUGAAUGCAUUGAUUGUAGCAUGUCAAUAGUAUGCCUUAGACGCUUUUCAAAUGGGGAUAAUAGGCUGUGUGCGGUGUGUCCGAUAUAUCGGAAAUCGUGGAUCAACGAGGAACAUCCACUCAUAUUUGAGUCGGACACAUAUCACUUUAUUAAUUUAAUUAAUUAUCCAAAUAAAAAUUUAUUGAAUUUAAUUUAUAUAUAUUGUUUGUAUAAUUAUGUGAAUUGAGUUUUUACAUUGUCGGUAAAUGAAAAACGUUACAUCAUUAAAGAUUAAAGAUGUUUGACUUUUAUAAUUAUCUAUAAUGUCAUGUUCAUAAAUGAUUGUAAUGAUUGUCGAUGUAAGACUUUUUAUAUAAACUCAAAUCUAAUUAACCUUAUUACUUAAUUUGACCACUAAUCAAUUAAUCAUCCUAAUUAAUAAAUAACUAAUAUAAUUAAUAUAAGAUACAGGGCCUCAUAAUAUUGAAAUAUAAUUAAAUAAUAAAUUGUUCUAACAUCUCUUCUAGUUGGAAAUUGACACUAAAUUAUUGUUGGUUGCAUUCUAACAAUAUAUCAUGCCUCAUUUGUUGUACUAAAAAAAGUAAAUUAAGUUUUGCUAAUAUAUAUAUCUCUAAUAUUUAGAGAAUCAACGUAAAUGGUACCACAAGCUUUGGAGAUUCUAUUGUAACUAUGCUGCAUGGAUGCCAUGUGCACAACAGGUUUAAUAACUCUUAAAGACAAGAAUAGUACCACACAAACUUUGUGGUGCAUGGAAGCCAUUUGGACAAAGUAAAACAAGGUAGUUUUGAUACCCUUUUGGAGACAACCAUAAAGUUUGGAGUGUGAUGCAUGAAUGACAUGUGCACAAGCUUUCUUAACCACUUGGAGGAAUUGAUUUCAAUGUAUGACAAGAAUAGUACCACACAAACUUUGUGGUGCAUGGAAGCCAUUUGGACAAAGUAAAACAAGGUAGUUUUGAUACCCUUUUGGAGACAACCAUAAAGUUUGGAGUGUGAUGCAUGAAUGACAUGUGCACAAGCUUUCUUAACCACUUGGAGGAAUUGAUUUCAAUGUAUAACAAUGGCAUACGACAAGCUUUGCAUGCAAAUGUAACUAAAUAGUUGCAUGUGAAAUUACUAUAUAUAUGACUACCUUGUAACAUUCAUACACACACCCAACAAAUUAGUUUUUAUAGAGUCAUCACUUCUUCGUAGUCAAUUAAUUAAUGGAGUUUGCACGUAUCUCUGUUUUAGUUCUGUUUUGUGUAAGCUAACUUAUUUUUUUACUUUAGAAUCUUUUAAUUUGCAAUUUCAAUUAAUCUCAUUGUUAUUUACUUUAAGAAUUAAUGCAAGCAUAAAAAGUUUUCAAUAAAAAUUGAAGAGAUGAACACUUUUUUUAAACAAUACUAAUAUGUGAUGGGAACAUUUUUUUGUAGUUGGCUUUUGUGGAAAUUGGUGCAUCACCAGCUGAAGAUUAUUGGCGAUCUAUUUGGCCAAACACUCCUCUGCCUAAAGCUUUCUUUGAUUUGUUGUUGCCUUGUUAGUAAUAUAUAUUAAUAUAUAUGUGUGUGUCAUGUGUGUUGUCUGCAUGAAUGAAUAAUUUUUACUUUAAAUCAUAAUGGUUAAACCAAUGAUUACAUGUUCAUGUUUAAGUUGAAAAUGUUUAUAAAAAUAAAGGACCUAUGUGGGAAAAGUAGAGAUAAAGCUGUAAAUGUUUAUAAAGAUAAAUGAUAUGUGUGGGAAAAAAAAUAAAAAAGGUGGAUAUUUUACUACUAAAUAAGAUAAAGGAUUUUAGAUGUAAUUAUACCUUAAUUUUAAUUUUUUUUGCAAUAGGUGUAUAGAAUUAGAUAUUGGUUUAUUAUGUGUAUUUCUUCAAAUUUAAUGUAAGGAUCCUCUGCAUUUGUUUUAUGGUACAUCAUAUAUAAGUAUAGUAGAUUUAGAGAGAAAAAUAUCAUCUCUCUAAAUUCAACUAAGCUACUACACUAUAUAGUUUUAUAGUUGGUCAAGGGAUCUAAUUUGUAUAUCGAGAGCUCUAUAACUCAAUUGCUCGUAAUAUGAAUGUUAUCAUUUCAUGUGUAAAUUAGUGCCUCAUAACAAGACUUAGGAUCCAUUGUUUGAUUAAUAUGCAGAUGGAAGAAGCAAUAGUCUACCCAUUAGUGCCAAAGAAAUGAAUCAAUAUUCGACACUCUUUUUCGAACAUGACCUCUAUCCUGGAAAGAAAAUUUCUUUAGGUAACAUUCAAUCUUUGGGAAAGACCGUACGACCAUUCAUAAAACCAACACAAGGUGUCACAGACUCCAUAUGGUUGGCAAAUAAAGAGAGACAAAGUCUCGAGGACUUUUGUGAAAGCCCAACUGCUAUAGGAGAACACAAACAUUGUGUAUCAUCUUUAGAAUCGAUGAUUGAUCAUGUCAUUUCACAUUUUGGGACGACAAAGAUUAAGGCGAUUUCAAGUACCUUUGUCCAAAAUCAAGACCAAUAUGUUGUUGAGGAAGUGAAAAAAGUUGGAGACAAUGCAGUGAUGUGUCACAGAUUAAAUUUUGAAAAAGUUGUAUUCAAUUGCCACCAAGUGCAAGCAACAACAGCUUACGUGGUCUCAUUAGUAUCCCCUGAUGGAACUAAAGCUAAAGCCUUAACAGUUUGUCACCAUGAUACAAAAGGUAUGAAUUCUGAGUUGCUUUAUGAAGCUCUCAAAGUUGACCCUGGAACUGUUCCUGUUUGCCAUUUCAUCGGCAAUAAGGCUGCUGCUUGGGUACCUAACCAUUCUAAUGACCAUCUUUGUGUCAUCUAGAUGUUAACUUGUUGUGCAUGUCAUCUUUCUUAUCAAUAAAAUCAUGCUAAAAUCACACUUCAAAUAUGAGCAUUUUCAACUUCAUGGAACUCUCAUGUUCAAAUUGGAUUUGACUUUCAUGUUCAAACUAGGUUUGUUUUAAAGUUAUAUAUGCAUGGAGAAAUGUGACGUGCUAAGUAUCAAAUUUCAUGUAUUUCAAAUAAAAC